UUGAACACAUGAUACUACGAUACUCAUGUUGCUGUCUCAUUAUUUUGAUGGAUGGUAAUGACUGAAUGGACUAUGAUUAUCACCAUUCCUUUAGAUUAUGUGAUUUUUGUCAAGAUAAGCUGGCAAAAUAUUUUCUUGUAUUUUUAGAAUGUGUUUUGAGCUGACCAUUUAGGCCAACCACCUUGAACUGGCUGGUUCUAUUUGAUUUAAUAGUUAAUAAUAUAUGACUCUUUUAGAAAUCACCUAAUUGGUUUGGAGUUGCGCAAAGCAAGAAUGGAUCGAGAGGCUGGCAAUUCUGGGCUGAAAAAUCCCAGUGCCCCAAUUCUCACUUUUUCAGUGUUUCCUCAAAAUUUCUUGUUUAAAAUCCUGGUCCAACACAUGGAUUACUGAGUCAGACUGUGGGAACUUGGGCUGGGACCCCUGGAGAAUCAGAGGCGAGUCCAAAUUUUGUAAACACUGUUUACACAGUUCUUUUCUAUUUCCAAUGGAUUAAUAUGUAUGCCCAUUAUGCUUUCUUAUGAUACAGAACAUAAAAUAUGUGACAAGUUCCCAGUGAUGAUGAUAUAUAAUAAAAAAUAUGAAAUGUUAGAUGUGAAAAAGUUUGAACCCCAUGGAUCAAUUGAUGGUGGGGAUUAUGACGGGGAAAAGUUUCUUGUCUAUUCUUGAAAAGCUAGAAAAAUGGUUGGAAGGGAUUAUGAACGGGCAAAGUUUCUUGUCUGUUCCUGAAAAGCUAGAAAAUGGUUGGUGCAGAGGCUAUUCUAUUAGGGGGGGCAAGUAGGGGGUCCUAUAUCUUUUAUCAAAUCAUAGCACUCUCUCUCUCUCUCUCUCUCUCUCUCGCCCCACCAGGUGGUCUGAUAGCCUCUCUCCCUCUCUCUCUCUUAUCGCCGAUACCUCCUCUCUCUCUCUCUCACACACAUGGACACCUUAACCCAGUUUUAGCAGCAUUAUGCUGUUGCUUUCUUAUUUCCUGUACCCUGACUAUUGAGUAACUAAACCUUUGAAUGACAUGGAUCACUUAUUGUUAUCAAAACUACAAAAUGCAAUCAAAAGCAAACAAGAGCGGUCGCUACUUUAACAUGCUCCAUCAGGAGUAUGCAUUGUAUCUGCCCUUCUGCACAUUUGUCUUUUUAAAAUUGAAACCGGUCCGUUUCCAACUUAGAAUUGAAAAUGACUGGCCACCUGCGUCUUUUUAAAGCAUUGUUAUAAUAUAUGUGAAUUAUGAGGGCAACUUUUUUAUAUUUCUCCUAUAUAGAACUCAUAUACUUCUUUUAUCCAACCGUCCAUUUUGAAUAGGCGGUUGAGAUGGUUUCAAUCACAAUGUCACUUUUAGUGGUUGGUAUGUUAUAGAUGAGGGAUCAUGUAAGAGAUCUAGUGUUUGGUAUGUUAUCGGUGAGGGAACCUGUGGUUCAUAUGUUGCAUUCUCACCGCGGCCCACAAUUCCUCCAAAGCAAGUCCGGUUUUACCAUGUGGAAGAUGUCUAGUGAUAUAUCACGUUGCUUUAAAUGCUUGAAUUUCCAUUUUAACCAUAAAAAGGCCCAUAAGCUUAAGUUUCAUUUUGGCUCCAUGAUCUCCACUACGAAAUAUGCAAAUUAAGAGGCGCAUAAGUUUCCUUAUUUGUUUUUCUUUUUUCCCCACUUAGCUCCUCAAUUAUUUUGUUAGCGAAUGCUGCUCUUGUUUGGAAUUUGUAACAUCGAAAAAUGAGGGUAGUUUUAGUAAUUUGGUUACAUAAGUUUAUCAUUAUCAUCGUCAAAGUAUUUUUUUAAUUAAUUGGAGUUGGCUAUACGAAUUCUGAUUUGUUAUUCGGCUUUAUUAAAUGCUAUAUCCUCAGUGAGGUUAUAAAUUCGUAUAUCUUUUCUCACUAUUUCCAACCAUUUAUUGUUAAGCUUAGUUUUUAUUUUUUUUUAGCCUUCCAUUUGAAUUAAUUCGCACUGUCUAACAGGUGUUGUAUUGGCUUUGUGCCAUGCAUGAUCGGUCCAACUAAGUCUACCUAAAUAAUUUAUUAAUUCCAAGCAUAGAACAAAUUUUUUUGUUUUUUUAUCGAUUAGAAAAUCUUGUUGUUGGCUUAGAAUUUAGGAGGAGCAUUAAGGAUUUACAUUUUUUGGCUUGGGUGUCAUGUGCUGGCCAAAUCAUUGAAAAGCCUGGGUUGCUCCAUUUCGACAAGAUUUUUAUUUUAAUGAAAGGCUUGUUUAGGUUUGCAAGAUUUAAGCAGGCUCAAGCGAUUUAAAAGAAAUUAUAAUUAAAAAUAAUUGUGUUAUUGGUAAAAUUGUUGAUUUUAUCAUCUUCUUAAUUUUCAGGGAGUUACUGUUUUAUUAUCUUUCCUAAUUUGUAUAAUGUAAACGGCCAAAGUAUUACUAUGGUGGCAUCUUGCUGGAACCAUGCUUAUAUAUUAGAGCAUGCAUGUUGGUUAUUGCUACAUGCAGGUGCAUAUGCUAAUUUCCAUGUAUUUGUUCGUUUGUGAAUGGAUUCAUGCAUGUGCAUGAACUGUUACUUUUAUUUACUGUUGUUACUUUUGAUUGGUUGCAUGAUUUGAUAGCACAACGUACUUAGAAACAGAAUAGAUGAGAAUAAAACAUAAAAUAUGUUGGAGUUUGUUUCGGGUGAAAUGGGGUAAAAAAAUGUUACGAUUUCAAGCAUACGAUCUCGAUCUCUUCUUGUUUUUGGGCAUGUGGGAGUGCAAUCUCAAGAUGAUAUUUACUUUUUUUCGAUAUAGUAGCAUGUGGGAGUGCAAUCUCAAGAUGAUAUUUACUUUUUUUCGAUAUAGUAUUUGAUGUGCAUAAGAAGAGCAAUUCGUUAUCGGGAUACAGAAAAACAAAUAGGUCUUUUUUAAUAUUAUUAAAAUCUAUGCACCCUAACUUAGGGUCCUUAUUGUAGAUUACCAAGAGGCUGUCCAUUUAGUGUUGUGGUGGUUACAUGUACCACCCAACAACUACAAGUUAUACGUACUUGCUCAUUAGAGUAUUGGUGGUUACAUGUACCACCCAAUAGCUACAAGUUACAUGCAUUUGAUGAUUGCUGUUACAAGUCUCUAUCUCAUCAACAGUUAGAUGACCGUUGGAUCUCCCUAUGAGUUGGAUUCACAAAAAGAUAACGAGUCAUGCCUCCAUCUUAUCAACAGCUAGAUGACCGUUGGAUGUUCUACACGCAUCAAUGGUUAGACUGUUGGAUCCUCUUACGAGCUAGGCUUACAAAAAGAUAACAAGCCACGAUCCGACAUGCACACGUGCUCGGGUGAUGGGCGUCUCAUGGGCCUAUGCGAGCAUAUAAAAUGUGCCAUCAAGAACCCUUGCGCCCUCCCGUCACCCUCGCAUAUGUACGCACGCGUCACAUGCUUCAUGUGCUCCGUACAUGCACCUUCUCUCUCAUUUUCAUGGGAGCAUGCACUCUUAAAUACAGUUCAACAAACUCUCUCCUCUUCAAUGCGAGACUCAAACUCACAUCUUUCUCUCUUUACAAAGUAAUUUAAGAAAGAACAAUAAAAUCAUAGUGUUGUUUUGAAAUAUAUAUAAGUAUUUUUCAAACCAAAAAUACUAACAAAAUACACAUCCAAAAAGGUUAUAUCCAAAGGUAAGGCAAAAUGAUAUUCACUAUAGCAAUGAAAGUCACAUCAUAGAUUUUGAAAUAUAGCAAUUAAAGUUACAUCAUAGAUUUUGUAGAUAUUGGAAUAUAGAGGUCGUUCUUUAACUUUUGACAUCUCUUUAAUCCUCAUCUCUUUAACCAUCGACAUAACCCAAUUGAACAAAACCUUUUAGAAUAGCUAACCGAUCCCACCUGCCGAUCUCCCAAAUCUAUUCAAACAUUUAUCUAUUCAGCCAUGAGGUAAAUCAGCAGCUGCUCCUCCGACAUCACCUACCAAUCACCCUUCUCUAUUUUACAACUAAACUACUUAUCUAUUCUACAACUAAACCACAGUUCAGAAAGAGACUCAUCUCUAUUCCACAGUUAAAACCAUAUCUACCGAUUCUUUCUCUCACUAAAAAAAACCACAAAAAAUUGGGAGAACUGUGAGGGCAAGAUGUGUGAUUUUGGAUAUAGCAUAUUCAACACUCUAUUCAUGGAAGUAUUUAUAGAUUUACGCGUAUAUUGUGAUUCUGCCACAGCAAAAAGUCCGUUUUUUCUGACAUCCCAGGGAGAGUUCUUUUCAGUGUGAAAUGAUUUCAUGCUCUUGUGGGAGCAAUCUGUUUAUUUGCUCCCUCAAGUAAAAGGCAAGCUAGGAAGUACUAUCAGGACCUCAAAUCUUGGGGACUAGCGAUCAACCAAACCCCCAAACAACCCCCCACCCAACAAAAAAAAAUUAAAAUUAAAGUUGGUCACUAGGUUGUGUAGGUCACUUCCCUAAACUUUAGGGUCUAAAAAAGUUAGGUUUUCCCCAAAAGGAGCAUAUGUACACUUUGUUGAUGUAGGAACAAUUUAUCUUUUCAUUAUUGGUGUGUUGUUUUUUUUUUUGGAUAAUUUACCCCUACCUGUUUUUCAACAAGUAGUUUAGUUUUUUUUGAAAGUGUUAGUGGGGUGGUGUUCGUGGGAAUAGAUUCCAUAAUGUGGUGACUAAAGUGUGGGAAUGCUACCACCAGGACCUCAGUCGCAUUUUCUAGUUUGUAUAUUUUUGUGUCAUGUUUUUGUUGGAUUUAUGUGGCCUUUAAAGGCUUUAUGAGUGCUUGUAAAAUGAAAUGAUAUAGUGGAACAUGAACUCAGUGGGAGUGUGGUCCCUCGUGGACUAUACUAAGCAAACUAUGGUUUGCUGAUACCGAUCAGUGCUUAGCGAUCUUGGCCAAUCGGUUGGGAAAGCCCCAUGUUACCUAGGCAUGAAGAAUAAACUGAUGAGGGUUUAUGGGUUAGCCCUUUAUGAGGUCGAAGAACAUGCCUGGAUGAGUGAGCCAAGGGAUUGUGUAACUUUUGUGUGUGAUGGUGGCCUACAGAGACAGAGACCAAAACGCCAUCCAUAUACCAUCACACGACAUGCAUAUCGAUAGAUCGUUCGGAAAAGCCAAAAAUCCACCUUUUAGGGUGAAGCACAUGUGCAAGAGAUACCCGCAUGCGCCAUAGAGCUGUGGUCGCAUAAGGUCUUGGUGACCUUGAUUUGUCUAUAAGGGAGGAUCUGUAAUCCAUAGACUGGGAUUGUAACCCCUUGACUCAUUCGCCAGACUUGGUGACCCGCUAAUGAGCCCUGCUUCGAUUGUGGAUCAUGGGAAACACUGGGUGGGUUCGAUAAGACAAGUGUGGUCUAUAAUCCACAGUUGAAGGUGGAAUGCCUUAUGAUUGCAGAUUAAAUUCUUUAACCAUAUGGAUCCAUUUCCUAUCAAGUUAAUUUAAUUAUGUUUGUUUUAUGAUAGAAAUUAUUUUAGAAUUAUUAUUUGAAUAUUUAUGAGUCAUUUGAUAUUUUAUUUAUAAUUUUUUUGGACUAAUAAAAAUAAAGAUAUUGAUUUUACAAAAUUAUAAAAUUCAAAUAAUAUUUUAUAUAUUUUUUUGAUAAUUUAAAAUAAUAUAAAAUAUUAUGGAGGGGCCCAUAGUGCACAUGGGCCCACCAUGUGUCAAGUGGAUACGGCCCACAUGUGCCACACAUGAGUGGCACACUCCACCCAUUGGAUUCUUUCUUGGAGUUUAAGUUAUUUCAUGUUUUGGUAAUAUUAUGUUAUGGCAUGUGGUCAAAUAAGAUAAGAAAUAUUUUGACCAAAUAUUGAAAGUGUAUAUUAACUUGAUAUAUCUUUAGAAUAUUUUGUGAAAGAUUAUGGAAUGCAUAAUAUUUUAAUUAGAUUUAAUUUAUCUAAUUUCUAUUGAUGGGAAAAUACUUAAGGAAAGGGGGAUAAUGGUCCAUGCAUCUUCCGUAAUAUUGAUGGGUCAUCUAUGGAAUGGAUGACUCAGAUCUCUUACCUUAUAAGUCACCCUUGAUCGACAGUAUAUGUUCAAUCUCGAAGAGACAAGCCAAGGAAAACCCUAAGAAAUCCUAAUUUUAUUCAAGCCUAUAAAAAUGGAUUGUCUCUACCCAAAAUCUCUACACCUUCUCUUUUUAUCUCUCUCUUAAGAAAGUUUCUCUCUCUCAUGUUUGACCUCUCUCUCCCACAUUGUAAAAGAACCUAAGGGUUUAGGUUAUGGAGUUCUUCUCUCUCCUAUCUCUCAAAUAUGGAUUUAUUACUAACGGUUUUAGGGUUUAACAAAAAAAAAAAGAAUCAAUCUCUCUCAAACUAGGUUGCUAAGAGAAUUCACUUAGGGUUUGAGUUUGUGAUCAAAAGGAUUCAUGUUCUAUUGGUGUGGAUUGGCCGAAAUUUGAUUUUCCGGUUUGAGAUUGAAGCUAGACCGUUGAUCUCACACCAUCGGAUGGUGGUGACUCGAUGUGCGGUGUAAUAAGCCCUGUUGAAGUAAUCUCCGGCCUUUUGUUUCUUACAAUCUUAUCUUUUAUUAUCAAUCAUAGUGCAUAGUUGUUUCAAUGAUAUCAAGUUGUUAAGAUCUUGAUUUUAUUGUUAUGUUGAUUUUUUUUUGAAAUUUAUCUUAUUAUAAUAAAGACCACAUGCAAGUGAUUUUUUGCCAAAAAAAAAAAGUGAAAAAAAAAAAAAAAUAUUCCUCAAGGUAGAAGGUGACAUAGAUCUUUCUUUCAGUUUUCAUAUUCUCCCUUUUCCCAGGAGUUUCUUGUGCAUGCUCGUAGUUCACACGUUACAUCCCUGUGUGAAACAAUGAAUAUGAGAGAGAUCCCUAUAUAUAUCUCAUUGAGGGAAAUAGUAAUAUGGCAAAAAAGUAUGGGUUUCUUUUUAGUGGAAAAUGGCUUUACACCAGAUUGGCUUCAGUCAAGAUAAAGCUGUCCUGAGAGAGAGAGAGAGUGUGAUAAAGACAGAGAGAAGGGAAGUGUUGAAGAAGCAGCCAAAUGGAGAUUCACAAUUUGGAGAGAGAAACAGUGGAAGUUUUACAUGACAUAAGAAAUGAUCCUUUUAUUGGAACAAUGGCUUAAGUAAAUUCCAUGUAAAAAAAUAAAAUUAAGAAAAUAAUAUCCAUGAAAAAUGACAUUGCUAAAUAAGAAACACCAAUCUCAAGUAAACUUAUCUCAAGACACAUAUAUGGUAUUGGAUAUUCAUUGUAUCGGUUUUUAGAGGUUUCGACAUGUGUGUUGGUGUCACCCAAGUAUCAACAGCAUUCAGAACUCCAGACACAUUCAUAGGAGAGAGAUUAUGAUUUUUGAAGAGAGAGAGAGAGUAUUUUUACUUUGUGGGUGCACUCUUUAAAGGGUUCUUGGAGAAACUUUAGAGAGUAUUUUUACUUUGUGGGUACCCUCUUUAAAGAGUCCUUUGAGAAGCUUUACUCAUUUUAUUUUACUAUGCUAUGGAAAACUUUUCUAUUCUCUAUAUAUUAUGGGACUAACCUACCGACAAUGGGGCCCUGCUCAAACCGUGUCCAUUGUGGCCCUCCCAUCUUUUCUCAUUUUAAAGAGAAAAAUGUUUAUGAUUUGGGAAAGCUUUUGCCCCAAAGCAACUAGGCAGAAAGCCUGCAAAUGAACAGCACACACUGUUUUCUGUGGCAUCACCAUUUCUUAGUGCUACCUUAUGAUUUAGAGAAAAAUAAUGAAUGGAAUAAAUAUUAAAAUAAGAAAGGUUGAAAAAUUAUACCUAAUAUAUAGAAUAAAAAAUAAAAUUAAAAAGAUUUAGAGAUUGUACUCUGUCUAUGAGUUUGCAAAAGGGUCCACUUGAAGAUCUUUUAAGAAGAUCAAACUCUUUUUUAUUUUCCAGUGACCUUUCUGUACACCAAAAGACCUCUUCCCUGUAAAUAUAAACUUAAAAGGAAUAAUAAAUAAAAAUAACAAACUAAACUCUAUCUCUCUCUUUUAUCUCUUAAAAUACAUCUAACAUUAUCAUAACUAACCCAAUCAUGCUACUCCUUGUUCAUAUAUAUAUAUAUAUAUAUAUAUAUAUAUAUAUUAAAAAAAACAACACUUCCAAUUCUACUCCUUGAAUAUCUACAACUAAAAAAAGACAAAAAUAACACUAAAAAAAAUAAAAAUUCAAAUAACAUAUUUUUUAAGUCUUAAAAAAAUAUAAAAUAUAAAAUUACUUUUUUUAUUUGCAUCACCAGGUCUCUCUUAGAAGUCCUUCUCUCUCUAAUUACAUUGUUGGUAUUUUUGUUUUCUCCUUCUUGGUGUUGACUCUUGAAGAAAGAUUCUAUGUGAAAGAUGAGAAAUAUAAUUUCAUCAUUGUUGACCCAAAGUGAGAUAAAUAAAUAUAUUGAGGUCUAAAUUACGGAACAAAUGAACUUCUAAAUGAGGUAUUUCGAGUGAUAAAGAGUGAUCUUGAAUAUGGUAAUACGAACUUCCUAGUUAACCUUCAAAAAAACAAAUGGGGGAUGAUAAGAUAGACUUGUAAUGAAAAGAUCAUUAUGAAUAUUAUAGAGCAGAGUUUAGGUGUGUUAGAUGGCACAAGUUAAAGUGCGUCCACCUUCCUAAGAUCCAUCGUCGAGAAGGAUUUUGGAUCUAGAAAUUUGUAGGUGUAUUAUCUAGAUUACCAUAAUCAUGAAUUUAAUAAAAAACUGUAUUAUGUGGUAGAAAUCAUCUAUUUAAUAUUCUUUUUGGAUCAUUCAUUCUAAUUCUUCAAAGAUAAUAAGCAAUGCACUAUUUUUGGAGCUCCAAAUUCAUGGAUCUAAGGUUGAAAUAGAUUCACAGUGAUUUAAGAUACGCUUCGGGUCUUGAAUCUUCUGAAAACCAGGGUGACUGCAUGAGCAACCAGCGUACAAAAUCCGUUUCACUAUUGUAUCUCACAAUGACUGACUCUUCACGCAUGGACAGUUUCUAAUACAAAUUGAUACAAGUGAAUUUUCACACAAACCCAUUUUGAAUGUUCGCAGUGAAAAAAUACAUCAUAACCAAAGUUGCUUCUUUCUUCAGCAACAUCUCUAAGUCCUUCCUUCUUGUGUGCAGCUGUUGGUAACGAUGUUAUCGGAUUCGUUUCGGACUGCUCUUUGUUUUAGACAUAAAAAGAGAACACUUCAGUUCUUUGAAAGGUUCGGCGUAAGCAUUUAGGUGAACUUUUAGGCUAAAAAAAAAAGAGAAAAUGUAAAAGAUAUAUAACUACACUAUUGCAAACUUUUCCUAUAUAGAGGAGCAUAUGAUAAAAUUAUGAAUAUUAUGAGUUUUAUUUUAACAAACUUGUAUAUUUUAUGGCCAAAUUUUAUGUAUAUAGGGGCUACUUUAAAUUUUUACUGAUAUAUUCAUUUUAGUGAGACAAUAGUUCUCUUCAUUUUGGUUUUUGGGCCUAAAGCCAAACACCGUGACAGUUCAAAAGGAAGAGAAGCAAAUUUGAUAACAUUGGUCGGUAAACCCCUCUCUCUCUCUCAAUUGGAACUUUGAAAAAUGGAAAGUUGGGGCUAUGUUAUAUAUUGAUACUUUGUUUUGACCAGUAUCUCAAAACUCGGAUCCGUAGCACAUCCAUGUUGGAUCAGCGGAUCAUUAAUCCAAAUCGAUUUGGUUCAGUUUGAAUGGGUGAUCCAGCAAAUAAUAAAAAAUACUAAAAGUGGGGUUUCUAAAAUUAGUUCGGGCCUGACUGGCUCCCGAUUCAGAUCGGCGGUCCAGAUUGAAAAUUCCCAGGUUUUGAAACAUUGGUUUUGACUAAAGUCACUAAGAAAGGAGAUUUUUUUUUUUUAUUAUGGUGAAUAAGCCAUUGAAAGAGUUGCGAAUAUGGUAUGUAAAGUUAGAACCAGCUAGACAGCAAUCAGCAAUUUCGUCAAGACAUGGCCGAACUGAAUCAUUGGUGGAUCAGAUCAUUAAGACGCUACUGCGAACCGCUAACCAUCUAGCUCUAAAGUUUCUUUCAUGAACUCUCUCUCUCUCUCUUCUUUAGGGCUUGAAGCCACAAAGCACAAUUGGAGCUUUUCCAUUUCAUUAAUGGAGAGAAAAGGAGUGAGGGGAGCAAAGAAUUUUUCUUGAAGGGAGAGAAGAUUGGAAGGUCCCACCUGCAAUCCCAACACCCCCCACCGACGCCUCUCUCUCUCUCUCUCUCUUUUAUUUCUUCCGAGGUCCCACCCUCUUCUUUUCGCGCCAUCGUCGUCUUCCUCUCUCUCUCUCUCUCUCUCUUCAAAGCUCACAAAGAAGAAGGGAGGAGAGACUCCAUUUAUUUGCUCGGGUGUAGAGCAGGGUAGAGAGAGAGAGAGAGAGCUACUCUCCUUAUUCCGAGUAAGAGAGAGAAACCCACCUUCUCAGCCACAAGCUCAGAGAAGAGAGAGAGAAGAGGAAGAGAGAGUCACUAACAGAGCAGGAAGAGGAGAGAGACCACUCAGAGAUUAGCAGAGUAAGAGAGAGAAACCCACUCUUCUCAAUCAGUAGCAGGAGAGAGAAAGAGAGAGUUAGAGAGAGGUACUGAGUCAUUGUGUGUGAGAGAGACCUGCUCCCCUUCGACAGAGUAGGAGCUUCUCCUAUGGGUGCAUCUGAGCUAAACCAGUUUUGAUCCAUGGAGACCUUAGGCUCAUUUUUCGGCUCUCUGCGCCAUCUCUCUCUCAUCCUCUUUCAUUUCUGCUUCUGCUUAUUCAUCUCAAGCCACUGCUUUAAAUCCACCUCAAAUCCUCCGAUUCCAGAGAAAAGAAAGCACUCUUCCUCUGCAACAAACCCCAAGAAAUUGGUUACCUCUUCAUGGUCUUUUAUGAAGAAACUCUUCUCUUGCCAUAGUGCUUCAAGCUCCAGUAAUGGCUCCCUUUCGAGACCUCGAACCCCACCCGGAUCAUCAACCAGGCUCUCUCAAGCUUCCUCUCUCUCAUCGCACGCCACGGUUUCUCUUUCUACCCCAACUUCUCGUGACAACACUCUUUCUCUCUCCACCCCACCUCACAAGAAACCAUGUCAUGAUUCCUGCAACGAUCUCGAGCCCCAUCCCCUGCUUUCUCUCUCUAACAGGAUUGCACUAAUCCCCUGCUCAAUUUGUGGUGAAAUCUUCAACAAACCCCAACUUCUGGAGCUCCACCAAGCCGUCAAGCACGCUGUCUCGGAGCUGACGGACCGUGACACGGCGAAAAACAUAGUCAAGAUCAUAUUCCAAACCAGUUGGUUGAAGAGAGAGAAACUCCCCGAUAUACAGAGAAUUCUCAAGAUCAACAACAGCCUGAAGAUCCUCGCCAAGUUUGAAGAAUACAGAGAAACCAUCAAAGCGACAGCCUUGAAGUCCAGCGUGCACAAGCAGGCCCGAUGCGUAGCUGACGGCAACGAGGUUUUGAGGUUCCAUUGCUGCACCUUCACUUGCUCUCUUGGCUUGAAUGAGGCUUGUUCUCUCUGUAAUCACCAUUAUUGCAGUCUCUGUGGGAUUAUAAGACAUGGGUUUUCCUCUAAACUUGAUGGGAUUUCCUGUUAUUCCAGUAGUUAUAAGGCUCAUGGGUCUAUACCUGCAGAUCUAGAGAGAGAAUUCUCUUUCAUGAAUGUGAAGAGGGCCAUGUUGGUUUGUAGGGUGAUAGCUGGGCGCAUUGCUUAUGAUGAAGGGAUGAGUGAGAAAGAGGGGUUUGAUUCAGUUGCAGGAGGUUGUGGUGAUAGUAGUGGAUUGGAGGAGUUGUUGGUGUUCAACCCAAGAGCUUUGCUUCCUUGCUUUGUGAUCAUAUACAGUAUGUAAAGAUUGUGAUUUCUUGUGUGGUUUUUGGAUAUGCGAUCAAAUUGUUAUGGGAAUGAAAAUUUGAAAAAUUUCCCUGUUUUAAGAGAGAGAGCUAUUCUUGUGUGACAUUAAGUGAUUUAAAAAACAGAUCGGUGAUCCGGAUAAGUCACCUAAAAAAUUGGCAGUUUGGAUCACUAUUUACUGUACAAAAAAAACAAUAGAUGAAUGGGCAAAAAAGUUGUCCCGAUUACUGUUAUAUCGUAGAGAAUUAUUGUUUUACUAUGCAUAAUUGUCGAUUUUCUUUAAGAUUUAAUCGUUUUCCUAUAUAUAUAUAUAUAGAACCAGAACGAGUAAUUGAUUCUCAGGUCGGAUCAAGCGAUUUUACAUCCAUUGUUUUUUAAAGAGAGUGAGCUUUUCUAUUAUGGCUUUCAUCAUAGUUUUUUUUUUAUAUAUAUAAAUCAUCAAUAAGACCCCCUUUUCGUUUUAAAAACAAUUAGUAAUUGUCUAAUGUAUAAAUAUAAAUAAGAAUGAAAACCUAAACCGGUAAAUGAAGUUCAGCUACCACUAAGACCUCAACUCAUUCUCAACUGAGGCUUCCAUUGUCGUCAGAGAGAGCUGUGCUUGUGUGAUUCCGGUGUUCUGGAGAGAGAAAGAAGAGUUAUUCUUUUGUGACUCCCAUUGUUGCUAGAAUUUUGCGGUUAUGCUGCAAAUUUAGAUCAAAAUUACCCAUUUAGGAAAAUGGUUUGGUAGCGCUGCAGCCUUAUCAAAACAAAUAACCAUUCACCUCCAAAGUCACCAGAAAUUGCAAUUUUGGUGUUGGAAAACCUUGAUCAUCUCGGCUUUCACCAUUAUGAUCGUGAAAUAGGAAAAAGAAAAAAAAAAAUUUAAGCCUUAAGAAUAGUACAUAUAUGGUAACAAAUUAUCUAAGACCGUUUAUUUCACCUUAAGAAUAAGUAGUCAUGGAUCCACAAGAUUUGUACUAUUUUUUAGCUUCAAACUUUAUAAUUGGUAUUGAAAAUUGAUUUUAGAGCUAUUAUAAAGAUUUUCGAUGCUUUCUCGAUGAGGAUUGAGGUGCGGUUUACUAUGUUUUCAUAAAGCAAGUCUAAUAGAAACUCCAUCCUUUUUUUUCCCCAUACGUCAAUGCCCCAUCGGAAGGAUCGAAAUUGGAUAUUAUUUUAUUUAUUAUGCAAUAAAUUAACUAUUUAUUUGUCAUGACUAAAAUGCAUUUACGUUGUACCACUUUUGUUCUCAAUUUUCUUUUCCAAAACAACCUAGUGAAGUAGUACGCAGUCUUUUUUUUUUUUUUCUAAAACUCGAUCUGACACUUGAAGUAUCAAACAAAUUUUAUAUUAUUGUGGGUUCAAUACUUCUAGUAUAUGACCGAUCUCCAUUGAACGGUUUGCUCCAAACCAGUCCAGUGCUUUAAGUGCAUGAUCGCAUUUUCAUCAUCAUUCGUGUACCUAAUAAGCUACUAACAAAAAAAUUUAAAAAAAAAUAAACAGGCCCAUAUAUCUAGUUCCGGCCCACAUUUUCCAGUACCACACUUGACUUCUGCAAAAAAAAAAAAGCUAACUGUAGAGGAUUCUGUUUGGUACUUUUUAAGUGUUGGGCAGAGUUUUAGAAUACAAAACGGUUUCCUAAAUGAAGUAUCGGAUUAGGGUUAUUUUGGCCAAAAACAAAAAAUAAACAUUGGGAUUACUUUUUAAUUAUGAAAGAAAACAAGGAUUUAUGUUUUAAUUUUCCCAUGGCAAAUACCAAUAACAUUGUCAAACCAUGUUAAAAAAUCAAUGAACAUGUUAACUCAAUUAAAUCAACAAUAAAAUGGUUUCUUAAUUAAAUCAUUUCAUUUGGAUGCAUCCAUAAUUACAUUGUUAGAAAAUACCUAAAUUGCCCUUGUUUCAAGUUUAGGAUGACAUGCGACGACAUUUUGGUAACUUGCCAACAUAAGUUUCUUGAACCAAAUGAUCUUAGAGCUUAUUUCAAGCUAAAACAUAAUUUUCAUUAAAAAAAUCUAGUUGGAGCUUUAAAACUUAGAAUAGAGGUAUUUAUAUCAUUUGGUUUGGGUAACUUAAGUACACUUAAAUUACUAAAUGGCCCCUCUUGUUUUGGUUUUCAAGCCCGGAACAAGAUUUUUAGUGAAAAAUCAUGAUUUCAAAUUGGAACAAAGAACAAGCACGGUUACUUAGGUUAUUUGAACCAGACAACUUAAAUAUGUCAAAUUAUCAAAUGGCAGCAUAUAAAAAAUAGUUACAAACCCUGAACAAAAGCAAUUUGAGCAUUUUUAGCAAAAUUCUCAAGGAGGUAUAUAAAUAUAAGGAGUUUAAAAAGGUUAGCAUAAGGCUUUCGCAUUAUGAAAAAAAGUAAAUCCACAGCUCAAAUCUUAUAAAAAGUUCUAGUUCCAAUAUCAAAAAACCUUUAAAUUAAUCAUCUCGAUCUCAACAAUUGUAGUUUUAAAAAAAAACAAGGCUUCAAAGCCGUGUAAUGUAUCUUAUAACAUAAUGUUUUGACUCAUUUUUUAGUAUUCACAUAUCUGCCAAAUCUAUUCUAUUUUUAGUUCAAAUUUCAUUAUAAAAUAUGAAACUAAUUUUCAUAUCGUCGUAAGGUUUAGUUUCUAAUACCAAUUUUCAACUAGGGUUUUAAAAUAAGGUUCAUGUGACCUAAGAUUUAAGUAACUACAUGUUGGCAAUAUUUUUUAUUAAACUGCAUAUAUUUUUUAAUAGUUUAUGCUUAUUUCAUACAAUCCCUUGUAGAAAAAUUUAUCUACAAGUUCUGCUCAUUCCAUGAGUCAAUAGAAAGUCAAAAAGAGAGGCAAGUUAACCAAAUCCCAGACAAAGAAACAUGAGAUAGUGAUUACUCCUCAUGUUUUGGUGGGAGUUAAAGUGCCUUUCUAUUAAACAAAGUACAAUUAUUAGGGUUCUGCAUAAUAUGAUAGACUAAACGGAUAAACAUCAUGACUCAUGUGACCUAAACCUUUUCAUUUUGGAGGACAAUGGAGGUUACAAUUGUUCCUCCCCGUACCCUUCCAUGCUUCUAGGGAGCAUGAUUGAACAUGAGUUAUUCUUUUUAAGGGUGAAGUUUGUAUAAGGUGUACACUUUAUAGUUUAUACUAUAUAAGUAAAGGGUACCUUGAAAUUUUGUUGGAAGAUAUAGUUUUAGUAUUUUUAGAAACCUUUAAAUUUCAAGUUUUAAAGAGAAAAAAUAUCUUAUAAUUUUUAUGGAGAAAUUGUUUAAAAAAAAUUUAAAGAGAGAAACUAUAUCAAAUUUUAAAAGUCUUAGAGAGAAAACUAUCCCGAAUUUCAAAAUUUUAUAGAGCGAUAAAUCUUUAAAGAAAGAAAUUAUCUCAAAAUUUUUAGAGAGAAAGUAUAUCAAAUUUAAAGUUUUAGAGGGAAGCUCCCUCAAAAAAUUUAGAGAGAGAAAUUAUGUCAAAUUUUUUGACAGAAAAACUAUCUCAAAAUUUUGACGUAGAUUUGAUAUCUGAAUGGUUGAAAGAUGAAAAGUCUCUUUGUAGACAUCCCAUAAAAAAAUAAAGCAGCCUUAUAUCUUAAUCCUCAAACCAAGAGAAAAACUAGAAUAAAUAAAUAAAUUAAAAAACACGAAAAGGAACGACCUCACCUAAAAUUCCUGAAAAAAUGGAGCAAAGGGUAAGUCCAUAAGUUUUACUUGGUUUUAACAUAAAAUUUCUAACACCAAAUAGGGCAAGCUUUUUAUGCUUCUCCUACAACAUAAAACUGAUAUAUACUUUCCCUUAUCCAACUAUCCAUUCUAAAUGGAGGGCUAAGCUUGUUCCAAUCACAAUGUCACGUCUCUACACUAUUUUAUUUUUAUUUUUGUUUCUAUAAACUAUUUUGACACCAAAUUUUGUAAGUUGAAUUCUCUAUUAAACUUGUACUAUCAAAAAAUAUAAAAGACAUAUUUCUAAUAAAAUAAAAUGACCAAAAUACCCUUGAAAGUUUCAAGGGGUAUUUUGGUCAUUAUAUUUUAUCAAAAAAUUAUUUUUAAUAUUUUUAUAGGUGUACCCAAUGAAAAGAUGACACAUACCAAAUUUUAUAUUCAUACAAUUUGUAUAUAAAAAAAAAACUAAAAAUAAAAUACUUUGAGACGUUGAAUCUAAGAUCAAACGGUGAGUGGCUCUCUUAAUCAAGAUUGGACUGCUGGAUGGUAGGGGAAGCAUAGAUCUUCUAUGCUGUAGGGGAAGUAUAGAAACCUUUCCCCAUAAAAUAAUAGAACUCUUGAGUUGAGAUAAAAUUCCCUUCUAUUUAAGUUUUACAUUUGUAAAAGAGUAAUGAUACUAUGAGACCCUCCCACACUUAUGUGAGUAGGACCUUAAAGGAUCACCAUUAAAUUUUGACACAGAUCUUUAGAAAAGUUAUCAAUAAACCUAUUCACCCAAGUCCCACACCCAUGUGAUAACUUUUCUAGAGAUCUGUGUCAUAAUUUAAUGGUAAUCAUUUGGGAUCCUACUUAUAUAGGUAUCGGAGGGUCUCAUAGUGUUAUUACUCAUUGUAAAAAAAAAAAAAAGCUACUUUUAUAAUCAUACCGGUAAUUGACCAUGGUUGUUAUACCAGCUGUACGACAUUUGAAUUCCCUCCUUUUUCUUGGUACAGAAGGCUGUUUUCACUGGCAAAUGCUCAAUAAGGGUACAACCCUAGGUUGUUUUCAUGAAAAAUAACGUUAUCUUGACUUGGUAUCUCCUAUAUUCGUGUUUAGUUGAGUCCUUGAAGACCAUGUGGAAAGAACUUUCCGAAGGAAAAAAAAAUUACAUGAUUAAUUUUUUUAAUUAGUUCUUCACUAUUAAAAUGGAGAAGGAUUAAGAUAUCCCAUCGUUGAUAGUCCAUAGAUUUUUGGUUAUAUUUGUAUGGGUGUUAUUGGCACUUUAUGUAUAACACUUACACCAAUUUUGCAAGGUAAUUAUAAGUUUUGACAAAGUUUUAUGUUUGGCCGCUUUCAGGUAUUUUACUCGAGCAUGAGACAAGGUAAAGAAAAGUUUAUGCUUCUCAUCCUUCUUGGACCAAAGGUUAAGAGAGAGAGAUCCUCAGACAAUAUGCAGUGACCCAUGUGUGAUUUGGUAAAGAAGUUGACCCACUUGCCAACUUUAGUCUUACCAAACAAGAAGGGAAGAUGAAGGGAAGAUUAGUCUUACCAAAGAAGAGGGGAAGACAAAUAAAAGUAUGUCAAGAUUCCAAGAAACACAAGAUUGACUAGAUUGCCUCUUUUGGCCCUUAAAGGGGUCCUAGAUAAUAAAAGCCACAUUUUUUGGGAUUUCAUACAAUACAUUUGUAGGGUUUUCGAGAACCUUUAGCUUGCGGAAUCGAGAAUCUCAAAUACAGAGAUCUCAUUCAAGAUCGUGUAUAUGAUUGACUAAAUACAAAGUAGAUGAAUACAACUAUAAAUCGAGUGCGAGAGAUAAAACAAACAUAAAAAUCACACCACAACAUACAAUUUACAUGUUGGGCUACAUCUACGGCCUUAGCGAUUAAAAAUCCACUAUCAUAAUGAAGAUUGCAGUUUUGGGUUACAAGAAAUAUACCUAUUUCAAAACAUCAUUAAAAAACAAUCAUCAAUCUUUCCUUCUAAACCCGUUAUCCCGACCGAACAACACCGUCGAUCAAUACAUUUUUUGGCACUGCAAUACCGCUAUCGAAAAUAUAACCUCGAGAGCAACAGAGAGCUUUUCUCUCUCUAAAAGUGGAAGCCUUAGCCAACCUAAAACUCAUGAGAAUACCACCUCUUUCUCGGAGGACUUAUCUUUCUCUUGGAGACCAAUGUCCAUAUUUGGAGAUCCAUUCCCAUAACCCCUAAAGGGGUGGCCCUUAAAGGAUGGGUUUUAUCACUUUAUGUAUUUAUUCACUCUCUUAUAAAGAUAUCAUUUUCUUGCUUAUCAAGAAAGUCCAUUUUUUAUUUUCCAUAAUACCCUUAAUCUUUAUAAGAAAAUAUGGGUAUAGUAAUUUGCGUAUCACCAAACCCAACAAUCUCUACCUUGAUAGCAAAAUUAUCAUAAUUGUUUACAAUAUUUAUUGAAUAGAUUUUUUUAUUUCUUCCCACUUGUCUCUAUUGUGAAAUUUUCACAAACACUUUGCCUCUAUAUUUCUUCACCUCAAACCAUAUAUCUAUCAAAUUCCACCAUUCAUCGUUUUCUUAAUGCAAGCCUUAGCCCCAUACAUAUCUUAUGCUCUGACCAAUUGUAGGGUUCUCGGGAACCCUUAGCUUGCGGAACUAGGAACCCCAAAUAACGAGAUCCUGCCCAAGAUCGUGUACAUGAUUAACUAAAUGCAAAGUAGAUGAAUACAACUAUAAAUUGAGUGCAAGAAAUAAAACAAACAAAAAAAUCACACCAUUUAUAUGGUUCAGCCUAUAGGGCUACAUCCACGGCUUCGGCAAUUAGAAAUCUACUAUCAUAAUGAAGAUUACAGUGUUGAGUUACAAGAGAUAUACCUAUCUCAAAACAUCAGUAAACAACUAUCACCGAUUUUCCUUUCUAAACCUGUUCUCCUGAUCGAGCAACACCGUCGAUCAAUAUCUUCUUUCCUACUGCAAUACCAUUACCGAAAAGAUAACCUCGAGAGCAACCAAGAGACUUUCUCUCUCUAGAAGUGAAAGCCUUAACCAACCCAAAACUCAUGGAAAUACUACAUCUUUCUCGGAGUCCAUGUCUCUUUCUCUUGAAAACCAAUUUCCAUCUUUGGAGAUCCAUUCCCAUAACCCCCAAAAGAGUGAUCCUCAAAAGAUGGAUAUUAUGUCUACCUUCACUCUCUUAUAAAGAUAUCACUUCUUUGCUUCCCAAAAAAAUCUAUUUUAUAUUUCCCAUAAUACAUUUAGUCUUUAUAAAAAAAUAUGGGUAUAGUGAUUUGGCUAUCACCAAACCCAACAACAUUGACUAAAUUUGAUAUAAAUACAUGAAAAGGAUUAUACAAGGUGCCAAUUUUAUACUUAUUUAUGUAAGGUGCACUAUUUACCCAAAAAAAAUAUUUACCCAUAAAAAGUGAAGUGCACUUCAAAAAAUAAAGUUAAAAAAAGAGGGUACAUUUCAAAAAUUCUCUAGAAAGCGUUAUGAUGUUAAAAAACCUUGAGAUAUAUGGAGACGAAAAAAACAGAAGAAUUUCAUGUCGUAAAAAUAACACAUCUUGUAAUAAGUUAUCUAGCUCAUCUAUUUGCAAGAUUUUCAAAUAUUUAUAGAUUUACUCGAUCUGUACCAAUUUUACAAUUUUAAGCUUCAUAACUAGCGAUUAAAAUAAAUUUUCAAGCCAUCAAAAUGUUUCCAAUGCGAGAACUGUAUCUCCAUGCAAAAUUUAAAGGUGCGCCUUCCAUUGCAUAAGGAGAACACCGUAUAUAAACCUCAGCCAUGUUCAUGCAAUACUCACUUGGUGAUUCUAAAGUGAAUCUUAAAAUUUUAGAAAAGAAAUCGUUCCCAAUAACUCUUUUACCUCAGAGAGUAGUCAUACAGUGUGCUCCCACAAGGAUGUUAUAAGAAGAAUUUGUAAUGGUGUUAAAGAGUAUCAGCAGCAUCAUCAAUGCGUUAAAGGUGAGGUAGCCAAAAAUAUUGUUUUGGAGUGAGGGUGUAAAUGCGCCAGGUCAGCUUGUCUGGUCUUAAGGGCCUGGCCUGAUAGGGACCCUGCUCGGUCUCCUUCAUAGGACCCGUUAGGCGGGCUGAGCUUGGACAUCGGCGUAUGUUGGGCUGAGAAUUUACCUGGUUUGGAUUCGACCCAAAUUUUAGAUCCUAUCGGAAUCCAAGAAUCAAUUGAAGGUUUGAAGUCGGAUCUGGAUCUAAAUUUUGGUUCUGCAUAGUAAUUCGGAUUGGGUCAAGGUACAGGUGGAUUCGAUCCGGAUCUGACCCAAUUGUAAAAUAUAUUAUAUACAUAUAUGUUAUAUAGCAUUUUUUGUUAUAUAUUAUUUAAUAGAUAUAAAAUAAAUUUUUUGGAUCCAAUCAAAUCCAUAUCAGGAUUUGGAGCCCAUGUAUACUAUUCAGAUUCACAUCUAGAUUCAGAUCCCAAUAUUCUGGAUCUAAUUAGAUUUGAAUCUACAUCUAGAUCCCAUGUAAACUUUUUGAAUAUGAAUCUGGAUCCUGGUCGUUCUGGACCCGAUCUAAUCCAUUUUCAACCCUAGGCGUCCGUUAGCUUAACAGGCCAGGCCCUACUUUAUAUGAUUUUUCUAUUAAUAGGUUGAAAAUAAGCCUAUAGGGUCUCGAAGGUCAAUCGGUUUUAGUCCCUCGAUAGCCCAUUAGGCUAGGUAGGACCCUAUUUUGGGCCUGUUAACUUAACAAGCCGAGCCUCGAUCUACUUAGGCUGGCUGUUCCCGGGCCGCUUGGACCCCUCAGAAUGAGGUCUUUAGGAAUGGAGAGAAUGCACAUAAGGCUCUGAGAGCUCAAGGGACAAUCAUGAAGAAGGGGAGAGCAUAUCAGCUUGUUUUAUCCCUAAACCUCCAUGAAAGAAGCCAGGCAUGGGAAUGGGGUUGGCAUCGGUGGUUACGGGGAUGGAUGCCUGAACGCAACGUCCCACCCUCCAUACUCACUGUUAACAUGAAUUAGGAGAAAUAAAAAAUAAAAAAAGAAAGAAAGAGAAAAGUGAGCCAUGAUCCAUCGAAGAUGUGGUGGAGAUUAAGGGCUCAAUCCAUUUGGUGACCUUCUCAAUAAAACUAAAUGUGCAGCCCCUUAUAGAAAGAAAUGUAUACAGUGAGAUUACUUACUUUUGAUACAAGGAGGUUAUAAUUAUGAUUAACUGUUAAAAUGUCAUUGUUUAGAUACAAAAUCCGGAACAAAAUUUUUCGAAUGCUGUGACACACUUUCAUCUAUAGGAUUUACAUCCAAUGAUUAAAAGAGAUUGUGAGCUCUUGCACCAAAAAUAAAUAGUCUCAUAACAUACGAUCCUCUUAUAGAAAGGCAGGAAAAUUGGUCAAAAAUAUCUUUUAAGGACAAGCUAGAGGUGAAUUCCUCAGCCUAUGUACACAUAAGAAUUACACCAUUAUGGUAUGAGGCUUGAGCAAGAUCAACUUAUUUUGUUAGAGGAAACUGCUGAUUACUGUAUGUUUAGAAUCCAACAAAUGAUUCAACAAAUAACAUUGCACAAGCUUCAUGAUAAAAUGGAAAAUAUUUCUUCAGAUGAUUCAUUUUCUCCAUAUACUUUUCCUGAUUAAAACACAUAGAGAUUUGCAUUCAAACAAAUGAAAUCAAUAAUUCAUAUAUAAGUAUUUGAUCAGCCUAUUUAACCCAUUAAUGCCCCUCUCCUUGCCCCCAAGAAAAUCAAAAGAAAAAAGAAGAUAGGAAGGGUAUCCAAGACCCCAAAAAUCUAUGAAAACCAUUGUAUAUAUCAUAUCAUUUAUAUAUAGCAGUUCAUCAUGUAUCUUAACAAACAAACACUUAUAUUUAAAGCACCAGAAUAAAUCAACUAUAAACACCACCAUCACCGCUGCCACCUCCACGGCCACCUCAGAAGCCUAAUUUUGAGCUCCUCUAACGCCAUUACAUGCCGCCUUCUCCUUCUCCUCCCCAUUUGCCUGCUUAUUAGUAUCAGGCACGCACCCAUCCGUGCCGGCAAGCAUUUGAUACUUGUCCCUCCUUGUAAACGUAGUGCACUCAAACCCUAGUGUCCCUGCAAGCACCCUUUGUAUAUAGUUGGCGACCUCGAUGGCUGACCUCCCUCCCUUAACUGUGAGCUCAGGAGGCAACUGGUUCAAGAAUGUAAUCUCAUAAGUAGGCAUAGGAUUCAUGAAGAAGAAGUAAGGAUCCAUAACCUUAUAGCCCCUCACAGUUGUUCCAUGGAAGAUACUUUGCUUAGUGGUAACAGCCACAGGGACAAUCCGGUCCGCAAGCUCGGCAAAAAGUGCACUAAACCGAAGCAAGAAAGGCUCACGACAUGUAGUCCCCUCGGGGCAAAUGACAAGAUCACCCUCCUCAAGCAGGCGCUUGAUGUGGGCAGCAUCUCGGUCGCGCUCUCGAGAGAGUGCCACAGCCUUGAUUGGAGAGAUCAAUUCUGAGAAUUUUGAGAUCGAAUAUGUCACACAGCUAACUUUGCGGCCUAAGGCAACCGCGAUGACCACCGGAUCAAGAACUGUGCGGUGAUCGCACACCAGGAGUGCCCCGGGGGAGGCAGGGGAAGGGGGCAGAGGAGGGUGGCCCUUGACAAUUAGGUUAAUUCCAAGGAUCUUGUAAUUGUAUCGGACAAUACGCUCUGGAAGCGGGAUGUUCAGAUAGACUCUCAGAAGAGAUAGGGGGAAAGCGAUCGGGAGCCAAAGGAAUGUGAGGAGGGCGAGGAGCGGGGUGGGACGCUGAACGAGGCGGCCGUCAUGGAAGACAAUGGGGCUGAGCAGCUUGUUGCUGGGGACAGGGUCGAUCUUGGUGUGGGGGACAAUGUAGGCCUCCUGUGUUUGCCAUAGCAAAUUAGAGAACGUUAGGGUGGUGUCUGGAUUAUAUGAGAAGAUGUAGGCAUGGAAAUUGUAGUGCACGAUGUCGAGGAGGGGGUUAGGAUGGUGCUGACAACAAUGUUUCAGAAGUCGAACUUGGGCUCAAAGUCACCAAGCCUCAUUCCCGCCCGGUCUGACUCAGAUGGUUCCCAAGCUGGAUUGGGUUUUUAUUUAAUUAGGGGUGAGAAUUUUUCUGCUUUGGAUUCGAAACCCGAAUUUCAGACCCUAUCCAGAUGGGAGAUGGGAUUCGACAGGUUGGAUCCGGAUCCGAAUAGUAAUUUGAUUAAAAUACAGGUACAGGUGGAUCCAAUCUGGAUCUGACCAUAUUAAAAUAUAUAUAUAUAUUUGUUAUACAUUUUUUAUAGAUAUAAAAUAAUUUUUUUGGAUAUGAUAGGUUCUGGAUCCAGAUCCAAGUCCCAUGUAUACUUCUUUGAUCCAGAUCCAGAUCCAGAUUCAAAUAUUUUGGAUCCAAUUGGGUCCAGAUCUAAAUUGCAUGUAUACUUUUCAGAUCCAAAUCCGGAUCCCGGUGGAUCCAAUAGUGAAGAGCCCCAUUUUCUUUGUUUUGAGCUAUUAAUAAAUAGUUUUGAGACAAAUAUAUGGAUUAGUUGAAACAUAACAUUUCCAACCAGUGGCCAUUUAUCUCAUUUUAGAUCAUACAUGUUACAUACGUGCAAGAGUGCUUGGGUAGAGAGAGAGAGUAAACACUCAUUUGGUAAUUUUAAAUUGGAUCUCAAAAUUUUUUUUAUUGAAAAUACUUCUUUGGUGAUUUUAAAAUAGAUACCAAAAUUUUAGAUCGAGAAAACACUUCAUACCAAGAAAUUUUCCAGUGGGCGUGUAUACACUAUGCUCUCGAGGGAGCAUGCUACAUAGUCUUUUACCUUGUAAAUAUAAAAAACUUUUUGACAUUUUCAUAAAAUGAGCAAGCCGAUACGGGUAGGUGUGUGUUUUUUUUUUUGGGUAAAUAGGUUUGUGUGGCUUAGAUAAGGCCUAGGUAAAACUUGCUGACUUACACUUUCAUACAGAGAAAAUUUCGAGAUAUAUAUAAUAUAUAUAGAGAGGGAGAGAGAGAGGAGGGGGGUACUUGAAUAUAAAAUAAGAACCCAAAAGAUUUUAUACUCCUAUGGGAGUAUAAUGUCUAUUUGCUCCAUGGGUAAAUUCCAAUAUAGGAGUAAUUUUAGAGCCCUAAAUUUUGGACAUGUAACCAAUCCAAGGCAUAAACUAACUAUAAGAAAAAAAUCCGAAUUGAAAUCUCUUUCUACUGAAGAACUAUCUCUUGAUUGCAUAGAGACCGUCCAAUGUUUUAAGGGUGCGAUCCAAGUGUCAAAAUACUAAAAAAAUACAAAUUUUUUCUUUUGAAAAUAAUCAUCCAGUAAUUCUUAAGUACUUUCCAAAAUCUCAGACUAAUAAAAUAAAUAAAUAAAUUUUUUUUUCAAGUAGGUCUUUUGCUUCAGAGAGUAGAUGUAUAGUAUGCUCCUACGGGAGCAUAGUAUAUGUGCUCAAAUAAAAAAGGAUAACAGAGAAUACAAAGCCUUCAAAAAAUUAGAGUAGGAAAAUUUUACGAAAAUACCCAUAAGAGAUUAACUAUUUAAUACUUUACCCAGGACUAUACCAACUCAGGAGCAUGUGCUUUUUUAUGGGUAUUUUGGAUUUGAAAAUAAUUCAGAGCAUGUGCUUUUUUAUGGGUAUUUUGGAUUUGAAAAUAAUUCAAUGGACGGUUGAAGAUUUGAGAGCACACCUAUGUCUCUCAAAUCUCCACUGUUCUCUAAUUUAUAAGAAAAAAAAGAAAAUGUAUGUUCCCAAUACAUAUAUGGAAAAAUUCAAGGUGGGACCCGCUUCUCCUCACCAAUAUAAUUUAUUAACUAUUAAUUAAUAUUUUAUUGACCAGGUAAAAUUUAUUUUCUUUUGUGAAUUAAUUUAGAAAAAUGUCACAUAAAAUGAAAAGAUGAGAUAUAUAAUAAGUUCGUUUACUUUUGUCAUAAUUAUUAUUAACCACUAGAUAUAAAAUUGAGCAGCUUGAAAUGUGUCAUUGACUAAGCAUGAAAUAUGAAUAUAUUUUUUUUGAAAUUUCAAUGCAUCCCAAACUGUUGGAUUUAACAACUAAUGACUAAAAGUAAUUGUGGCCUCCUUGUACUAAUUGUGAAUAAUCUUGUAGCAUAUAAUCCCCUAAAAAUGACUUUUUAAUGUUCUAUUUUCGUAUAUGUUUGAGGAUAUUAUACAUCGGGAAUGUAAACGUCCCCCCAACUUUUUUUGGGGGAGAUUUGCCCCACUUUUUCUCUAUUGAUCUUCCAAUUUAUUUCAUAAAAUUUUCUUCAAGUCAUUAGUGCCAUUCAUGGUUUAAUUUAACCACUUAAACUAUUCAAGUCAGUGACCUGGAUACACUUACUUCCAAGAAAAAAUAUUCCCAACCAAAAAAUUAUUUCAAACUUAGAGUCCUAAACAAGAAAAGGUUUUUAGUUCAUUUUGUUCUUCUCAUCAACUAAAGUGAACCAAAUUAUCGAAUAUCCUCACUUGUUCAACCAAAACAGGAUAAUUGGGGCUUUUUAGUAAAAAAUAUUGAGGUAUCACUAUGAAAGGAUUUUUAUUAAUUUAACCAUCUCAUUGAUUUAUUCAAUUUCUCAAAACCCAGAUUGGUGGGGUGGAUCAUUCACCACAUAGGUUUAUGUUGAAUCACUAGAGUAGCAAACCGGAUCGGUGAUCCAGAAUAUAUUUAAGAUAAAUAGAAUACGAUAAAAAAAUAAAGUAGGAGUUAAUGGGAUGGGGAUUUAGGGAACCUGAAAAAACACUAGAGAAGCUUAAAAAAGUAAAAAAUAAAAUAAAAAUUAAAUGAGAAAGUUCUAUAAGGCCUAGGCUUUAUGAAAAUAAAAUAAAGCUCCACCUCAAAUCCUUGUCUAGAAAGCACUUUCGGCAACAAAAAUAUCCAUGAUGGAUCCAAAAUCAAUUUUAAAUAGUAACAAUAAAACUUCAAACUCAAAUAAGGGUACAGAUCUUGUGGAUCUAUGAGCACUUAUUUUUAAGGCAAAAUGGAACAGUCUAGAUAAUUUAUUACAAUAUAUACUAAUUUUAAAGCUUAAAAUCCUAAUCUCUUUUCAUGACCAUAAUGUUCAUUCUGAGACGAUUAGUGUAAAUGUUUUUUAACAUUUGAAUUGUAAUUUUGGAUGAGUUAUGAAGUGAGGUUUUACCAUUUUAACAAGGCUGCAGCUCUAUCAAACUAUUUUUCAAAAUUAAAAGGGGAAAUUUUAAGGAGGAACCAGGUCGGGAUCUAUAUUGCUCCCAACCGAUCCUCAUUUAAAUCGACGAACAAUAAAAAAUUAUUUGUUUGGCUAUUUUUAGUGAUAUUAUCCAAUGUAGAAGGAAUUUUCAACAGAUGAAUAAAAAAGACAAAAAGAAAAAUCACACAAGAGGAGGAAACAAACAAAGAAACAUUGACGAGAGUCACGUAAAAGGGACAGAGAGGGACGAGAAGCAUGAGUUUGACAUCAAAUUUUCUGGUCCACUUAAUAUUUAAUUCAAAAUUUUGUGAUUUGAAGGAGCAAAUCCCACACAAUACUUGCUUCCACGUGGCACAAUCAGAGUUGGGGAAAGGAAACAAUGGAAUUUCAUGCAAGUUGAAGACCCUUCCAUGGAAACUAGGACGUGUGUUUGGGCAACCGCUGGUCGUGGAAAAUAAAUUUGAAAGUAGAGAGAGAGAGAGAGACUAGAAAGAGAAAGUAGAGAGAGAAUUCUCUUCAACUCUAUGAUUUAAUGUUAACUCUUGCUAACACAAUUUGCAUUCUCUUUCUCAAUCUUCUCUUUCUCUCUCUAGGGUUUCAGUGGACUCUACGCAUUAAGAGAGAGAGAGAGAUUCAUUGCUAUUCAAUUUUAUGUACUGAAACAUGUGCUAACACAAAAUGCAUCCCCCUCCUCUCUCUCUCUCUCUCUCUCUUAAUUGAACAAGACUUACUGGUCCACUACUCAGGUGUAACUGCGUUUCCCAGUAAAGAGAGAGAGAGAGAGAGAAGAAAAAGGUGCAGUUUUGUAGAGAGAGAGGGGGAUCCUCUUUCUCCGAUUAAAAAAUUUGAGGAAGGAUGGUGAUCUCGAUAGUUAAUGUAGAGUUUUUCACCGAGUUCUAUGGAAAACAAGAGAGAGAGAGAGAGUUGUUGAAAGAUAAGGCCAAAGAAGACAAAGAGUUGUUGAAAGACAACUUGUUCAUAAAUGGAACAACAGUGGCUGGGUUCAUAAAAACCAUGCACAUAGGAAAAGCGAUAAAAACUUUAUAUUGAUAAAAAAAUCAUUUUCUCAAAAAAUAAAAACAAAAAAUAUGAAAUUCUCCAGAGAAAAAUGAAUUGCGCAUUGAAAUUUUCAAUAAAUAUAUUGUUAACCACCAAAGAAAAUAUUAUUUUCUUGAAAAAACCAGAAUAAAUAUCUAGAAAGCAGGCAGCCCACUUUCCUUCUGCAAAUUUUUGAGGUGCAAUUAAACUUGGUUAAAAGAAUGUAGUCAGUGCAAGUGCAAAAAUACCCUACUGAACAUUUCAUCUGGAACAGAGAGAGUAAAUGAAAGAACAUCUCAUAGAGAGAGAGAGAGAGCAUAUCAUUGGGUUGAAAGAACUUGUCAUAGAGAGAGAGAACAUAUCAUAGGGUUCCACACAAGCGUAGAGGGGGAGAAUGAGAGAGGAUUUUAUAGAAUAAUAAAAAGCAGGAUGCUUGCAUCCAGUAGCAUAGAGAGAGAGAGAGAGGAGAGAGAGAGAGGAGAGAGAGGGAGAGAGAGGAGAGAGAGGAGAGNNNNNNNNNNNNNNNNNNNNNNNNNNNNNNNNNNNNNNNNNNNNNNNNNNNNNNNNNNNNNNNNNNNNNNNNNNNNNNNNNNNNNNNNNNNNNNNNNNNNNNNNNNNNNNNNNNNNNNNNNNNNNNNNNNNNNNNNNNNNNNNNNNNNNNNNNNNNNNNNNNNNNNNNNNNNNNNNNNNNNNNNNNNNNNNNNNNNNNNNNNNNNNNNNNNNNNNNNNNNNNNNNNNNNNNNNNNNNNNNNNNNNNNNNNNNNNNNNNNNNNNNNNNNNNNNNNNNNNNNNNNNNNNNNNNNNNNNNNNNNNNNNNNNNNNNNNNNNNNNNNNNNNNNNNNNNNNNNNNNNNNNNNNNNNNNNNNNNNNNNNNNNNNNNNNNNNNNNNNNNNNNNNNNNNNNNNNNNNNNNNNNNNNNNNNNNNNNNNNNNNNNNNNNNNNNNNNNNNNNNNNNNNNNNNNNNNNNNNNNNNNNNNNNNNNNNNNNNNNNNNNNNNNNNNNNNNNNNNNNNNNNNNNNNNNNNNNNNNNNNNNNNNNNNNNNNNNNNNNNNNNNNNNNNNNNNNNNNNNNNNNNNNNNNNNNNNNNNNNNNNNNNNNNNNNNNNNNNNNNNNNNNNNNNNNNNNNNNNNNNNNNNNNNNNNNNNNNNNNNNNNNNNNNNNNNNNNNNNNNNNNNNNNNNNNNNNNNNNNNNNNNNNNNNNNNNNNNNNNNNNNNNNNNNNNNNNNNNNNNNNNNNNNNNNNNNNNNNNNNNNNNNNNNNNNNNNNNNNNNNNNNNNNNNNNNNNNNNNNNNNNNNNNNNNNNNNNNNNNNNNNNNNNNNNNNNNNNNNNNNNNNNNNNNNNNNNNNNNNNNNNNNNNNNNNNNNNNNNNNNNNNNNNNNNNNNNNNNNNNNNNNNNNNNNNNNNNNNNNNNNNNNNNNNNNNNNNNNNNNNNNNNNNNNNNNNNNNNNNNNNNNNNNNNNNNNNNNNNNNNNNNNNNNNNNNNNNNNNNNNNNNNNNNNNNNNNNNNNNNNNNNNNNNNNNNNNNNNNNNNNNNNNNNNNNNNNNNNNNNNNNNNNNNNNNNNNNNNNNNNNNNNNNNNNNNNNNNNNNNNNNNNNNNNNNNNNNNNNNNNNNNNNNNNNNNNNNNNNNNNNNNNNNNNNNNNNNNNNNNNNNNNNNNNNNNNNNNNNNNNNNNNNNNNNNNNNNNNNNNNNNNNNNNNNNNNNNNNNNNNNNNNNNNNNNNNNNNNNNNNNNNNNNNNNNNNNNNNNNNNNNNNNNNNNNNNNNNNNNNNNNNNNNNNNNNNNNNNNNNNNNNNNNNNNNNNNNNNNNNNNNNNNNNNNNNNNNNNNNNNNNNNNNNNNNNNNNNNNNNNNNNNNNNNNNNNNNNNNNNNNNNNNNNNNNNNNNNNNNNNNNNNNNNNNNNNNNNNNNNNNNNNNNNNNNNNNNNNNNNNNNNNNNNNNNNNNNNNNNNNNNNNNNNNNNNNNNNNNNNNNNNNNNNNNNNNNNNNNNNNNNNNNNNNNNNNNNNNNNNNNNNNNNNNNNNNNNNNNNNNNNNNNNNNNNNNNNNNNNNNNNNNNNNNNNNNNNNNNNNNNNNNNNNNNNNNNNNNNNNNNNNNNNNNGACAAUCAGAUUGGUUUUGACUAAAUUAUAUUCUUUCGUGCCUAAUCCCAUAAUGAAAUAGGGAAUGUACUGUAAACAUCUUGCUUAUGGUCUGAUAUACACAUAUCCUCCAUCUACCGACCGUUCACGACAAUGUACGGUGCAUAUCAUCUAUUCUUCCAUACUUCAAUUAAGGAACAGUAGCUCAUCUCCACCGUCUAUCGGUAAGGAUAAACGGUGUGUGGGCUUUAUUUACCUCCCAAUAUAUGCAUCCAUAAAGGGGCCUUUACUACAACGUAGUCUUUUAGUUUUAUUAUGACAUUGUUUAGUUUUAGAUUAAGAAAUUAUUUAGUAAAAAACUCAUGGGAUUAAGGAAGAUUAAGGUACGAGGGGGCUGGUCUUUUGUUUUUGGUGCAAUGGUAUUAUUGUAGAGAGAGAGAGGUUCCCCGUUGAAGAGAGGGCAGGUACGUGGAUGGUUCAAGUAGUUGAAACCAACGCCGACGUUCAUUCAAUGGGCCUUCCUUAUAGGAAGAUUUCACUCUCUUCUCUCUCUAGGAUUUAUUCUCUCUCUAGGAUUUAUCUCUCCUCAAAGGAGGAUCUCUUCUCUCACUCCUCUGUAUAAGAGAGUCUCUCUCUAGGAAGUUCUUUUUCUCUCUUAUGGGAGGAUCUCACUCUCUCUCUAGCUUUGGCUUUCUAACUUCUAUCUCUCUAGGAUUUAUCUCUAUCCUCAAAGGAGGAUCUCUCUUCUCUCACUCCUCUGUAUAAGAGAGUCUCUCUCUAAGAAGUUCUUUUUCUCUCUUAUCGGAGGAUCUCACUCUCUCUCUAGCUUUGGCUUUCUAACUUCUCUCUCUAGCUUUGGCUUGGCUUCGGCACUGGGCUUGGAGAUCUUUUGGCAAAUGUUUUACGCAAAAUAUAGCAAAAUUGUUUAUUAAUUCCAAAAGGAAAAGAUAGAAAACUAAAAAAGAAAAGGUUUAUAAACGUUGCAAACUUAAAAGAAUUAAGGUGCACAUCGAAAAUCCAUAGGAAAAACUAUUUUGAUGUUGAAAAACACUUUAAUUGAUCAUAUCGAUAUUGAGAUGUAUGAAUAUCAAUAAAAAAAAAUGAGUCUUAAAAGUAAUGUAUCUUGUAACACAUUAUCUGGACCGUCUAUUUUCAAGAUUUUCAUAUGUUUAUAGAUCUACUUGAUUUGUAUUAUUUUUUAAAUUUAAAAUUCUAUAAUUAAAUAUGAAAAUAGAUUUUCAUGCCAUCCUAAUAAUUUUUACAUCAAAAUUAUAUUUUAUCAUAAAAUUUAGAGAUGCACCUGAAUUUGAAGUUGCAAACUUAUGCAAACAACACCUAACUUUUAAAAAAAAAAAAAGAAGAAGAAAAAAAAAAAACUAAGAAUGGAACUUUCUAGAUACAAUGGACAUUGAUCUCCAAGUAGGAAAACAUUGCAUCACAAAGAGAAGGUAUUGCUUUACAAGAGAAAAAUAUUUUGAUUAUGAAGCAAAAAGACUACGUGCUCCCUCAGGAACGUAAUAUAUACUUAUUCCCUGACGUAAAACCCUAGCUAGAAGUAAUUUUAAGACCCUAAGUUUUGGGAUGUAAACUCCUCAAUUGCACGACCAAUUAGAAAGAUAUUUCUAUGCAUUUUGAUUCUGCCUGAAAAAAAUUCAUGUGAUUUGGUCUUUUGGCCGAGAAGUGUAUAGUGUGCUCUUACAUGAUUAUGCAAUAUAUAAUUAUUUAAAAGUAUAUUAUUACUACUAUUACUAUAGCCCAUAAUAAUAAUAAGAGAAAUGAUCCUAUAGGACCCUCCUCUACCCAUGUGUCUAGGACCUCAAAGGAUCACCAUUAAAAUUGAUAUGGAUCUCUAAAAAAAUUAUCACAUGGGUUUGGGACUUGACUUUUCUAUAAAAUAAUAAUAAUAAUAAUAUUAUUAUUAUUAUUAUUAUUAUUAUUAUUAUUAGUAGUAGUAGUUGUAAUAGUAAUAGUAUUAGUAGUGAUACACUACUACUACUAUUAUUAUUUUAAGAAAUAUCAUUUACAUUCUCCCGUUUAUUCAAUUCUUAAGAUUGUCAAAUCAUCACAUUUAACAUUAAUAUAAUUACUUUUGUAAGUUUGAUUUCACUUUUAUACCUCUUCAAAAAAAUAUUUAAAAAAUGGCCAAGUUGUUUUUUUUAAAAGAUUAAGAACCCUGACCAAGUAAAAGAAUAUUGAUAAUUUGGCUCCAUUUAUGUAGCCCAUGCCACAUUACAGCAACAUGCUAAUUGUUUAAGGUCAACAACAUAGAAUUGUGAAAUAAUGAUAAUACCUUUAGUUGCUCGAGGUAGCAACAUGGAAUUCCCCUUAUCCUUAUAAACACAUACCAAGAACUCAUACUAUAUCCAUCUAAGGCCUUAACCGAGCUCGGAUUACAUGAAUUCUCUUACAUAGGAUCUCAAUCUUGAGCAAAAACAAUUUGGUCAUUUUUUAUUUAUUUUUUAAGAAGGUACUCAAGUAUAAUAAAACUUGAAAAGUAACCAUCCUGAAACCAAAUUGAAUGAUUUGAUCACAUCAAUAAUUUUGGUGAAGUGAUUUGACCAUUUGAUUUGAUAUUUCGCCUUUAUUAUAGUCAUUUUAUGAUUUUUUAAUUGAUCAACCUAAUGAAUUUGUAAAAUAAUUUAGCCAUUAAGUUUGAUAAUUCCCCAUAUCAUUGCUAUGUUUAUUAAUAUUUUACAUUAUUAUUAUAGUUGUUAUUAAAAAUGACUAGUAUCUUUGUUGCUUCUUUGGCCCUAGGAAAGUUUGGAUGUUGAGUUUUGGCUCUAGGAAAGUUUGGAUGUUGAGUUUUACUUUUGAUUUGAGGGCGGUCAUAUCAGCACUAAUGCACUAAAUCCCAUCAGAGUUCUUAAAUUAGUAAUAAAACAGUCCCCCACUGAUUUAUCCAAAAAAAAACAAAAGUUUGCUGGUUAAAGAUAAAGAACCCUAGGCUUGGCUUCCUUGGGUUGGCUAGUGACCCUAAAAGUCCACAAUAUGUGGGUUCCAAAAUUCAAGGGAAUUUUUUUCUUUCCCCAAAGUUCCCCUAAACUUAGAGAAGGAAAUCUCUUUUGGAAUUCUCUUAUUUUUUGAGAUAAGAUUUCGUUAAAGCCUUUACUCCACUUCCCUACCCAUAGAUUCAAACUGGUAGAUAUCAACAUCAACCACCUUUGUUUUUUCUUUUUAGUUUACUUCUCCUCUUUCUCUCCACUAGUUUGUUGCACGUGUGAUCAAUGGCUAGCAAUGCUCCAUGUGUGGCAUGCCCAGAGACCUCCCUAUUUUGUCUCUUGAGCCAUCAAUUUUUUUGUUGAAGAGUUCAAAUAUUUUUGAAAAGGGUGUCUCGAGUCAUAAACUAUAAACCACUUUUGAUAAAUUUUCACAAUCGUUUCACUUUUGAUAAAUUUUCACAAUCGUUUAGUUUAUGUGAUUGAUAAUUUGAUAUGCAUUCCAAUUAUGCCCAAGCUUUAGACUUAAUUUCAGUAAUUUAUUAAGAAAUUUGGCAUCACCUAGUUGACCCCCAAUAUUUGGUCCAUCAUUUUCUUAAGCCUUUUUUUUUUUUUAAUUUACUAUUUUACUUAAAUAUCUUUUCCAUUUUUUAUUAAUUUACUAUUUUAUGUAAAUUUAAGAAUUAAUUUUAAAGAAAUGAAUUGAAUAAUAUUCUGUCUAAUUUUAAAGAAAUGAAUUGAAUAAUAUUAUGUGCUUGUUUUGCCCUUCUGUUCCACAUUUCAUCUUUUUAAAAAAACUUGGAGUUGUAAAAUGGAUAGUACUUAGGUGUAUCUAUGGAGAUAGUUCAUGAUUUCGGUAAAAAGAAUUUCAAGUAUCAAAAAUACUAUAUUCUAUACCAUUUUUUGAUACCGCUUAUUUCAAUGCUUCCAAGAUUGUUAUAUCUGCAUUAUUUUUAGAGCUCUAAUUCCAAGGGUCUAAGGCAUAAUUAAAUUUGCAACAUUUUUAGUCUUGAGAUCCUUGAAAACUAAAACGACCCUUGAAUACACAUCAAAAAAAAUUCUUUUAAAAAUAUAAAAUUUUAAAUAGAAAACCUUUGUCUCAAACUAGAUUUUUUUCAAAUCUAUAAUGUCAUUUACCAGUUAGAAGAAUAAAUGCUUGUUUUUUUUCAUUGGGGGACCUUGACUUUAUAUUUAUAUUUAAAAAUAUUCACUAAAAAGUCGUUGUGGAAACAUAUAUCUGAGGUCACGAACAAAUAGAAGUACACCACACACGUGUCAACUGCUCCUUUUGGGACCAUGUGCUAUGGUCCUAGGCAAUAAAAUAAAAACUUUUAUUUCGACAAAUAGAUAAAUAUAUAAAUAAAAAAUAGAAAUAGCUUUUUAUUAUUUAGCCAAAUAAUUUCUUUUUUUGGGUAAGUGGAGGUGACGAGUCCCUAGCAGUGUAAUAUUUCUGAUCAUGCAAAAAUAAAAAUAAAUAUUGUAAAAGAAAUGGUUGUGGUUUUUUUAUACAUAUGUGAGAUGCAUCUUGAAAGGAAAAGUAUAAAAUGAGACCAUUUACUUUUGAUACAAAGUGGUCACAUUAAUCUUGACCAUUGCAUAUGAACUUGGGUGGCUACAAUUAUUUUAUUGACCAGGUUCAAACUUCAAAAGAAAUUUUUUUGAACUUUUUGACAAAUCUAAGCUAUCAAAUUUCACAUCAAAUAAUUGUAAGUAAUCGUGACCACCUAUUAUCAAAGGUAAAUGUUUUCAUUAAACAAAAAGUAAAAAGUGUGCUUUUUGUAGAGCUGGGGCUUUAAGAUAUUUGUAUAAUCAUACUUAAACUACCACAAUUGGAAAAUGAGUUCAAGAAUGAGAAGCCUUAAUGAUUUCCCGGAAAUGUUUUCGCCCCUUAUUAUGGAAUCGAAAUAAAUCUAGCAGAUUUGUGAACACUUAAAAUGGAUAAUUCAAAAUUGUAUAAUAAGAUCGAAUAUUUUUAAGGUUUGAAAUCUAAUUUUUUUAAUCAAAAUUAUGACUGUUCACUGAUAUUAUAUUUAAACCGAGAUUUGAGGCGUGGCUUUAGAGCCGUGGCGCUACAAAAUACUACCCCAAAAGUACAUAGGAUAAACAAGAGGAAAUGGUCUUGUCAAAAAAACGAAAGGAAAUGGUAGGUAUACAAAUGAUGCAAGGAUUUAUUAUGGAAAGAUUCGUAUUUAUUUUGCAUUAAUCAUCUAAAUUCCCGUAUUCAUAAGUCAUUCUUUUCCUUGCUUUUUGUAAUUUAAUUCCUUAUAAAUGACCGAUCUUUUUGGUAGAAAUUGAACAAAAAAUAAGCGAUAAAUCCAUUUUAUUAACGCGAGGCUCUAAGGAAAUGAAAAUACAAAACAAUAAUGAAAUUAUUUCUCUUAAAUUGACUUCUCAAAUAUUAUUGUAUGUGCAAUCUUUAUUUGUUUUCAUAUCUGAUUGGAAAUAUGGCCUUUAAUAGAAUAAAACGGCAUAACAUGAUUCAUUUAACCAAACCCAAAUUUUUAAUUGCGGUAAAUGAUGAUGAUGAUGUUGGUUAUAAGAAAUUCUUACAGUAAUGGAUACUAGACUUUGUAAGUUGUUUUAUUCUCUCCAUUUUGCUAUAUUUUAAUUGAAAAAUCUUUGGUCCAUGGCUUGGUCUUGGAACCGUGAAUAUGGUUGGGUAGGUGGUCCAUGGGGUGCAUUUCUAACCUAACCUUUCGGUUGUGUUAUUGUCUCAAAAGUAAAGGCCGACAUGUUAGUGCCAACCCCAUGGACAAGAAGAUAAACAAUAACACUAAACACAAACCAAGUCAACUCCUUGAUUUUUGAAUAAUAUAUUAUGUUAUAAUUGAGAAAUCUCUCUUCUCUUUCCUCUUUGAAUAUUUCUGAUAAUGUGAUAUCUCUAUUGUAACCCUAUUUUAUUAUAUCUCUCUGUUACAUCAAAAGCAUUAUCUCUCUGAUAAUGUUUCUCUUUUCUUUUUAUUAUUUCCAAUAAUGUGACAUCUCUAUUGUACCUUUGUUAUUGUAUCUCUCAUUUAUAUCAAUAAAUUUCACAAAUAUUGUCAAAAAAAAAAUCAGGUAAGGCAUACCUUUUGGUAUCAUAAACUCUUAUUGAAACCUGAAAAUCUAUUUAUGACCAUAAUUAUAAAAUUGAAUAGUUAAAGUUUUUGAAAAUAGAUGAUCAAGAUAAUUUGUCAAAAAAUACAUCAUUUUUACAAUAUAAUUUUUUUAUUUUUUCAAUAUCCAUCUUGAGGUCAAGAUGAUCACUGGGGACUUUCUGGCAUUAGAAUGACUUUUUCAUUUUGGUUAUGACGUGAGUAUAAGGUUGACGCUUUAUAUAAAAACUUUCCUUGAGAGAUUUAUGCUUGGAGGGCUUAUUACUAUGAGACUGUAUAAAUGAUACUAUUAGUUUUUUUAUACAAAGGUCACAAACGCCAGUGUCAUUUUUCCAAACAAAAUUAGGAUUUUAUUUUUUUAUUUUGAUCAUCAUUGUCGUUCAAGAUUCAUCCCAACUAUUUCAAGUCAGCUUUACGAAUCUUGUUCUACUAUUUGGCUCUUUGAAGGGUCAGUCAGACUCAUCGCUAUGUCUCUUCUCACUACUUUCAUCCGUGUCUUUUUGGGCAUUCUCCUUAUCCAUUUAUAUUCUUCUACCUGAACCAAAUCGACUCACCUAACUGCUAUUGUUUAAGUAUAAUUUUUAUUUGGAUCACGAUCAAUCAUAUACUUCCAGCCACCCAAUUUCACAUCUACGAAAUAAAGAUACGUAUAACUUUUUUGUGCCGAAUGUAAUCCACCAUAUUGUAUACUUUUUCUAUCAUAUUUGAACCAUAUUGAUGCUCUCAAUUAACCUGUUCUCCUAUAUCCCAAUUUGGUACGACCAGACUGACGCAAUAAAGGAAAAAAAUUGCAAAUGUUCUCUAUGUCCACAUCUUAUGAUUGAAUAUGGUCCAUUCAAUUUUGAACUUUUAGAUAUAGGGUUGCAUACUAUAAUACAUUUAUCUUUGAUACAAAACAGUCACAAUUCCUUACAACCAUUUGAUGUGAAAUUUGAUAGUUUGGAUGUGUCACAAAAAAAGGGAAUUUCUUUUGAAGUUUGAGCGUGGUCAAUGGAAUAAUUGCUACCACCCAAUUUCACAUCCAAUGGUCAAGAUUAAUGUGAUCACUUUGUAUCAAACGUAAAUGGUCUCAUUCUAUACUUUCCUUUUAGAUAUAUGUCCUUAUGAAUUUCAAUUUUUAUUUUAUUUUAUUUUAUUUUGUUAUUACCAAUUUUUUGUUAGGAUUCUCAUUUAGUGAUCUUGAAAGUCGAUCCCAAAAUUUUAGACCAAUAAAAUACUCCUAAGUAGGUCUAUCACGCUAGUCUCACACACUAGAGGUCCCUGGUUCGAACCCGGGCUUAGACAACCAUUAUUUUUAUUGUCAAAAAAAAAAAACACUCCUAAGUAGGUCUUUCGGAUGAGAGAGUAAGUGUACAAUAUACUCCAACAAGAGCAUUCUAAUCCCUAAUGAAAUAUCUCUUUGCAAUUGUGGCCUUAGCCCUAAAAUGAUAAUUUUCUAAUUUUGAAGCCAUAAAUGGAGCAUAAUAAUAAUUCAUAAGACCCAAGUGUAAGUCCUUAAAAUGCCCCAUACCCCAUAGUUUUAUUCUCUGUCUCCCAUUUUGGAAAGUAAAUCCUUUUUUUGGGUGAGUGGAAAGUAAAUCCUUAGUGUCAAACAAAAAUAUCUUUUUUUCUUUGUUUGUAGUGUUUGUAUGUGUCAACAAACCUUGAAAAUUAAGUUUGGAUAAAAAUGUCACACCUCUUAAUAAAUGCGAGACCAUAAUGAGGACCAAAAUUUUGGUCGAGUUUUGGUUUUUUGAAGGGGGGUUGGUGGGGUCGUAAAGACAUUGGUUUUGAUUAAGAUGAAACUUAGGCCCCAUGAAAUUGAGGGGACUUGCCCACAAAUAAUUCCCUUGGACAUAAGCGGCUUGGAUUCAGACCACCGGCCAAGGCAUAUACCCCUCUGUCUCUAUACCUUCCAAAGCUUAUAUAUACCCCUAGAGGUGGCAAUGGACCCGACCUGACCCAACUUGGGUCUGGGUAUGAGUUUAAGAUUUGGACUUGACGAGUCUCGGGUUCGGGUCCAAAUAUUGGACCCAAACACUAUUAGGUCUGGGUUUAAGUCCAAGUCCGUGUGGACCCGAUCUAAAUAGUAUUAUUAUAUAAAUAAUAUUUAAUAUAUACUAUUUCAAUAAUAUUUAAAUAUAUAUUUUUAGUUAUAAUAUUUAAUAAUAUAUAUAUAUGGAUUUGACCCGACCGGUUGCCACUCCUAAAACCCAUCUCUCUCUCUCUCUCUUCACGGGCCCAAGCAUACACCCAUCUACAUAUCUCCCUCUCUUUUUCAACUUUGAACAUACGAAUCUCUUUCUCUCUCACUCUCUCCAAGCAUAUAGCAUGUCUCUUUUCCUCUCUCUAACACAUUUUGUUUCUUGAAUUGAAAGUACGAACUCAUAUACGCACGUGCCGUUGUUGAGAAAUGGCCAACAUUGUUGCCGAACAAGCAAUAUAUCUGUGCGCAACAAAUUCGGUCUUAAUCACAAGACUGGAUUGCAAGAAAAAAGAUCCCAACUCUCAAGCGCGGAAAAAAUGUGAAAAUUGUGAUACUUUUAUUUUCGAUUCAAACUAUGGAGUACCAAAAAAAUGAAAAGAAAAAUGUGAUUGUUUUAAAUUCAACUCAAACUGUGGAGUGCCAAAAAUUUGGAAGAUGUGAUUGUUUUUUUUUGUUUGACUUUACCUUUCAGGUUUAAAAAAAACGAUUGUAUACUACGAGAUCAUUUAUCUUUAAUACAAAAAAGGACAAUUAAUCUUAGCCAUUAAAUAUCCAAUUAGAUGGCUUGAUAUAUAUCAUGAAGUUCAAAAAAAUAUUUGUCGGGCUUUGAGUUUAGUCACAAAUACACUUACAAUCAUUUGAUUUGAAAUUUGAUGGAAAAAAAUAGUAGUGAUCUCUUUGUACUAAAAGCAGAUAUCUCUAUGUACACUUUUCCUUUAAAGCUUUGCCUAAUAAUUUUUGGAAGAUAUCAUAAGAACCGCACUUUUUAAAAUGUUCUUUAAAAAAUGGAGUUUUUUUUGAGAAAUCGUAUUUUACAAGGAGUAUCGCUAAUUAUCGUUCAAAGUUCAAACACAACUCUUUUUCGAGUGUCAACAUUGGGAAUGGAGCCUAAGACGUUAUUUUGAGGCACUUGCCCUUCUAAUCACCAAUGCCCUUUGAGGUGUAAAACGGGAAAGGUCGACCGCAGAUCACCCCAACCCAGGUUUGAAUGAGAAAUUGGGAACUAGAUUGCCAGGUUUAGUCCGAGUCCAACUCAGAUCCAUCCAUUCAGGUCGAGUCUGGACCGAGGUAGACCGAACUCGAAUCUAUCCAUUAAGGUCGAGUCUGGACUGAGGUAGACCCAUCACAAACCUAACUCAUACAUACCAUUAUACAACACAUUUGAGGCCUUAUUUUCUCUCACACACACACAUUGGAAAAAGGGUACAGUUUGUAUAGAGCCAAGGCUCAAAACAAGCAAAUUAGAGCCCACCUUCAAAUAGUGUCGAGAAAUGUGGUUUCAAUACUGGAAAUCUUUGAGAUAACUUUAAAAUAUGCUUUCAUAUUUAAAUAUAAAAUUUAAAACUUCAAAAACAAUGUAGAUCGAGCAAAUCUAUGAAAACUUAAAAAUCUUGAAAAUUGACAGUAAAAAAUGUGGUACAAGCUGCACUAUUUCCAAAACUUGAAAUCCACUUUUUUUCUCAUAUUCAUGCAUCUUGAUGUUGAGAUGAUCAAUUUGAAGAUAUUUGAUCAUCAAAACAACCUCUUCUAGUGAAUUUUUUGAGGUGGGUUCCAAUUUGAUUGUUGAGAGCUUCGGCUCUAUAUAAACUUUGCCUUUGGGAAAAUAUGGGCACAUGGCACAUGUAGCACACUAUUCAUUCAUGAGGAAAACAUUUAGUUAAUGAAAUCCCAAGAAGAAGGGUUGUACCCAAAUUUGAAGUAACAACAGUUACUAGGAAAAGAGGAAGGGCCUUCUUCUAGUACACCAUGUUCCCACCUAGUUGGUGGCCCUGUCAGCUUUAGAGAAAGAACUGAACCGUAUUCUUUUAACUCAGUUUCUUUCAUAAAAGCUUUGAGUUUUGGUGUCAGAGUAGGGUCUCAUGGCUUUGGUGCAUUGUUUAUUUCCUUGUACAACUUUUAUUUCCUUGUAAAUUGUUGGUAGAAUUAUUGUCGUCCACUCAAUUAUCUGCUGGACUCUUAUUGGUGGUCCCAACAGUGUUCAGGGAUUGUGUCGAGUUGACUCGCCGAGUUAUUAGGACUCGGGUCCUCAUCAAGCCACGCACUCUGGGUAAAACUUGGGGUUAUAUAAAAAAUAUAAAAUAUAAAAAAUAUGCUAACUUGUAAAAUUAUGUAUGAAUAUCUUGUGUGCAAUUUUAAUAUUUUUGAUGACGGUUUGCAUGUUUUUCUUCUAAUAUACCCCAUUUUAUAUUUUCCUAUUUUUUUAGAUUUUUUUGAAGUGUCUCAAUCUCUAAAUCAAUUUUUUUUUCAAGUCCAUGUUUUAUAUUUUUUUUAUUUGAAAUUUUGAAAUUUUUUUAGUUUACUUUGAUUUUUACUAUUUUAUUUUAUUUUUAAUUAUUUUAUUUUUAUUUUUAUUACCUCAUACACUAGUUGGACGAGUCCACUCAGACUCGCCCAAGUUACUUGGCUCAGGCAAAGUCCUCCUCACAAGCCCAAUACGAGUCCUGACACUAGCUCCUAGUGUUUAAGUUUGAAAGAAGAAGGGCUUGAAAUUCCUUGUAUUGUUGUUUGAUUAGGUGAUGCAGUUUUGUUUUAAUUUGUUUAAUAAUAAAAAACACACUCAAUUUGAUAGGACUUAGAUAAGGAGAUUUAUAUCUCAAUCCUAAUGUCUUGAACAUCUCUCUUUCUUUCCCUUACAUUUUAUUUGGUGCAAGGUUUAUCAAUCAUACUUGACUGGAUAAGCUAAGCUAUUUUGGAUCAGUUUAGUUUGAUUAGAGAUGAUAAAGAAGUUUAGGGAGGGCUGGGUCGGAUCGGGUCCAAAUCUGAAUUUGGAUAUACAUGGGAUCCAUAUCUAGAUCCGGAUCCAAAAAGUAUAAAUGGUCCAGAUCCGAAACUGAUCGGAUCUAAAAAAGUUAUUUAUAUAUUAUCUAUAAAAUAAUAUAACAAAAAACUACUAUAUAAUAUAAGUAUAUAUAUUAUAAUAUAUAAUAUUUUAAUAACGGUUGGAUCCAAAUCAGAUCCACCGGUACCAAAUCCAAUCCAAAUUACUAUUUGGAUCCAAUUUGAUCCGACUGUUAAUUCCAAUUAUUGUAUCCAUAGCCAAAUGCAGAUAGGGUCUAAAAUUUAGUUUUCGGAUCCAAACUAGAUAAAUUCUCAGCCCUAAGUUUAGGUUGGUCCUAGAUAAUUAUCUUUUCAUAUGGUUUGGCUCCAAACAUGGUCCGGCUCCAAAAACAUCUAGUUAGAGGGGGGAUCUUCUUGUAAUCUAAAAAUUUUCACAUGAUUUUCUUUUCACCUUGCGAACAAUAUUUUGCCCAAUUUGGGCACUUAAAACAGUAGAUUUGGUCAUCCAUCAAAUGGAUAUCAGAUGGAUUUGAUUUUGAGCAUUUGAGUACUGUAUGAACUUUUCUUUUCUUUUUUUUUUCCUUUGUAAAUAUUGUAUUCCACGAUAAAUUCAAUUUCGCAUAUAGAGAUAAUGAACGCUCUAAGCAGCCAGAUGUGAAACUAUAAAGCUAGGGCAUGUUAUUUCUCGACAAAGCGUGGCUGCUAUAUUUCUAAGGGGCAGAACUGUGUCCGAGUAGUCUUGCUCGAUCACCUAUUGUUUUGCCAUCAAAAUAUGCUAUGCACUAUGUUUGCUUGAUGCGUAAAGAGGAUGGGGAGUCAAUUUCACACUUGCUUCUUUAUUGUUGACAUACAACAUACAUAUGGUAUGCUUCUUUGGGAUGUUAGGCUUCAGUACAGGUCUUCUUCAAAAUGUCUUGGGUAUCAUUUCUCCGUUAGUAUUUUUGGCUUUACCAAAUUGAGAGCAAGGAUUUGGCAAAUUGUUAAAGGAGCUGUGUGUUGCGAGUUAUGGAAAAAACGGAAUAGACGUACUUUUGAAUAAAUUUGUCUUUCAUGUGACGGUCUAAUUCAGCGUAUUAUUCAUAUGAUAUGGUGAUGGCUGUUAGUCACUAAGGAUGGGAGAGGUGUUAGCGAGAUCAAUGUGUGGCUUAAUCUAACCUAUUUUGUGGUCUCUAAGAGUGUUAAGACCAUACCAGUUAGCAAAUGAAUACCCUUGGUGCAAGGUUGGUUAAAGUUAAACUUUGAUGGCAGCUCUCUCGGUAAUUCGGGUAAUGCAGGGAUAGGAGGUGUGGUACGUGCUUGGAUUGGAUCAAUUGUUCUUGCCUAUGCAGGAUCUAUUGGAAUUGCCACGGCUAACAUGGCUAAGUUUAGAGCCUUGCUCAAAGGAUUACUCCUUAUUAAAGCCAUGAAUUUGGGUCACGGUAUAAUGGUCAAAGGUGAUUACCAAAAUGUGAUUAGAUGGUGCAAAAGGAACAAAGAGUUCCUUGGUUGCUACGAUCGUUUUGGGUCCAAGUGGUGAAUUUGAAAAGGGAAUUAUCUUUACCGUUCCGUCACGUCUUUAGAUAAUCGAAUGAUCUUGCUGAUGGUUUGGCUAAAAGAGGUGUUGUUAUGGAUUCCUUUUCUAUUUUGAAGAUGUAAUGAGCGAAUGAUGGAACUGCAUUUUAGUUGACAACAAAAUUUGACAACAUUUGUCAAACAAAAAAAUAUGCCAUGCACUACUAGUGUAUGACACACUACAAGAACUUUGGAUUGCCAUUGGCCCGGACUUAGGCCAAACCAUUAUAGGCCCAGACCUGCACUGAAAUAUUUUAGUUAGGGCUGCCAAUGGGCUAGGUUCGGUACAAGUGAGCCUGCACUCGGACUCAUUCGAAAUUGUUAGGGUGAGGCCUAGGCCAAAAUAUAUCAUUUUGGGCCGUACCCGAAAACUUCGGGCCAAGCUCAAUAUGCAUCUACACUAUCAUUUAAUAUAUAUUCUAGUGGAUUUACGUAUGUGCACGUUGAAUUGUAAUAAGUUAUGAAAGUAAAAUUUAAAAAUUACAAAAAUGUUCAUAUAGAGCCAAGGCUCUAAACAAUCAAAUUAGAGCCUAUCUCAAAAUUUUCACUAGAAGAUGUUGUUUUCAUGCCCAAAUAUCCUCAAAUUGAUCAUCUCGACAUCAAGAUGAAUGGACAUGAGAAAAAAAAAGGAUUUCAAGUUUUGGAAAUAGUGUAUUUCGCAACGCAUUUUUGGACCGUCAAUUUUCAAUAUUUUCAAGCUUUAAUAAAUCUCUCUAUCUACACUAUUUUUUAAGCUUUAAAAAUUAUAAAUAAAGAUGAAAAUAUAUUUUAAGGCUAUCAAAGAGAUUUCCAAUAUUGAAACCACAUUUCUUGAAGGUAGGCUCUAAUUUGAUUGUUUAGAGCCUAGGCUCUUUACAAACCGCACCCAUAUAGAUAUAGAUAUAGUAUAUUUACUUUAUUCUUUGUAUAAUGUUUGGUCCUAGCUAUUUCUUCAUCUUAGAACUUCAAAAACACAAAAUCGUGAUAGAUAAUUUUUAAAUUAUUAAAAUAUUCAUUAAAAGUAAGAAAUAGUUCUAAACUAUUUUUAUAAAAUAAAACUAAAAUACUUUUAACAAAUUUAUUGUCUAGCGUAAACAGUCUACAGACUACUAAUAAAUUUGAAGGAUGAAAAUUUAAUGAAAAUAGAGAAAGUAGUCAUAAAUGUAUAGCGAACGAUUAAAAUUUCGAAACCUAAGAACAUUCAAUAUUUUAAUAUGGGUGCAGUUUGUAUAGAGCCGAGGCUCUAAACAAUCAAAGUAAAGCACAUCUUCAAAUAGUGUCGAAAAAUGUCAUUUCAAUACUGGAAAUAUUUGUGAUAGCUUUAAAAUAUAUUUUUAUCUUUAAUUAUAAAAUUUAAAGCUUCAAAAAUAGUGUAGAUUGAGCAGUUCUAUGAAAAUCUUGAAAUUUGACAGUCCAAAAAUGCGUUUUAAGCUGCAUUAUUUUCAAAAAUUGAAUUGUAUCUUUUUUCUCAUGUCCAUACAUCUUGAUGCUGAGAUGAUCAAUUAGAGAAUAUUUGGCUAUCAAAACAACCUCUUCUAGUGAAAUUUUUGAGGUGGGCUCUAAUUUGAUUGUUUAGAGCCUUGGCUCUAUGUAAACUUUUUCCUUUUAAUAUUUGAUAUUUAGCUCAAAAUUUUUAAUGUGUAAAAGAAUUUAAUAUAUCAUAAUGAAAAAAUUUCUUUUCAAAAAAUUUAGAGGUAUUGUAACUAAAUAGCUUUUCAAUAAUUUUAACUCUUAUAUCGAUUGUAUCUUUAAUUGUUUUAGCAUAAAUGAAAGACAAAAUAUGAGAAAUGAUACUAUAAGAUCCUCUCACACCUAUGUGAGUAGGACCUCAAAGGAUCAUCAUUCAAUUUAGCACAGAUCUCUGAAAAAGUUACCACAUCGGUGUGAAACUUGACUUUUCUAGAGAUGUGUGCCAAAUUUGAUGGUGACCAUUUAGAGUCCUACUCACAUGGGUGCGGGAGCGUCUCAUAGGAUCACUACUCUAUCAAUAUUAUGGAAAGGUCUUCCCAGAAUCUAGAAAAAUAUCAUCUCUUUUUUUUUUCUUUUCUUUUCUUUUGUUCUAACAAAAUUACUAAAUAUUACUAUUGAUAUGCAAAAAAAAGCAUACCAAUAAGCCAAUAAAGAAAGAACAAGGAAUCAAGUAAAAGGAGAGUCUGUCACUCCAAGCUGGCAAAAGAGUUCGUCUCUCUCUUUAUUUGAGCCAUUUCGCAAGCCUAUCGUUUGUAGUACCUCGAUUUAGCGGAAGCCCUCUAUACCCAUUUUGUCGCCUCCCAUGAUGAGUGAGACAAUCUGUCAGGUUUUUUCAUGGUCCUUGGUCCCAAACCAUUUUUGACAGAGAAAGAGUUGAAUCUAGCCCUCGGCUGGGAGUAGCUAAGGCUACCUAGCAUUUAGGUCCAAGUGCUUCUUUGUUUUGUUCAACAAGUGAUGCUCUGCAACCAUUCUUGAUUUGCCGUUGCAUCAUCAAUCCAAACUCUGUCCAGAUUGACUACAAUAGCUUUCCUGUCACUAGCAACAGUUGAAAGAAAAACAUUGGGCUUUUGGCGACCCCUGCACUCCUGUAAACAAAUGAAAUCCGCCUUCGACAUUGUUUGAGUUGGGACUAUUGUAUCGAAUCUCUUGAUAACAACAUCUAUCAUAAAUGAAUUCUCUAGUGUUUUACUCCUUACCAUCGAGGGAUUUAAUCGUACACCUGACCACAUGCAGUUACGAGAAGUGAUCGUGAUUCCGUUCCGAAUAUCCCUUAUGCAGUGCCUGUUCAUAGGUAAAGUGCUAUGUGAGGACUUUGAGAUCCAUAUGUUAAAUUUGUGUAGCAAAAUCGGAAUUCAUAUGCAUAUAUUAAUUAAAAGGGUUCAGAUGCGGGAAGAAAUUCCAGGUUACCUCCCGAGAAUCAAUGGGUGGGAUGGCAAGACUGAAGGUUUUAAAGAGACCUUUACCGAAUUGGUCUUCGUAAGCUUCUAUGGCAUAGACAGACUCCUCCUGGAUUGAGAAUUGUCUUCAUAGGGAAGUGAGAUGGAUGCUGCUAAAGGAGGAAGAAGCAAUCAUCCUGGUCCAAGAUUGAAGUCAGAGAUCUCUAGACUCCGGAGGGGGGGGGGGGGUGAUACGAUGUGUAGCGCAGUCUGGUCAGCGCAUCUGUUUUGGGUACAAAGGGCCAUAGGUUCGAAUCCUGUCACCUUGAUGUGAAAUCAGCUAAUACUAAACUAAAAUAUGAGCAUCAAGCGACCGUUACUACCUCAUCUUACUAACUUGACCGACUACCACAAUCGCAUCUCGCAUCCGGAAUAGGAAGGAUAUUGGUUGAAUAUCGCUUGUACCGAACGCAUUACUCUCAUGUCCUACCAUUCUCACCCUUCCUUCCCUUUCCAGUUAAUCAGUCCUCGUUUGAGGUUCGGUUCAUUUGGAAAAGAGGUCAGUCUUAGGGGAGACCAUGCGAAUGGUUGAAUUGAUGACAAAGCUUCGAUCUCGUCGACUGAACCUGAAGGAGACUUCGAUCAUUCAACUUUAGCUUCCGAAGGAAUCAUGUCACUUGGAAUUUCGGAAGGUGAAUAUUCUCUUUCAGAUCUUGGCCUUGGUAGAACUUGUCAUUGAUUGGGAUUUCGAUUGAAAAGAUGGGCCCUAAGGCGGGCGAGCCGAGCAUAUUGAUCAUUCCCAUUUCCUACCCCUCUUCGCCGCUACCAGGCCAUGUGCAACGAGUGGGAGCAACUCGUCAGGCAACAUGCCUGCAUUAAAAUUGAAAACUUGUCGUCUACUUUCAAGAAAUGUUUGGAACAGAGAACUUGCAAGAAAACAACGCCGCAUUCUUCAGAAUUUCUAUUUCCAUUCGCGUAUAUUAGCUCAGAAAUGGUCCACGUACCACAUUAUGUCUCUUUCUACAAACUAAUGUUUAAAAAUCUGGGAAAGUAAAUCAUCUCUCUCUCUCUCUAUCCAUGCAUCUCUGUCUUUUCUUUUUCUUUUUUUCCUAAUGUUCUAUCCAUGUGUCUAUAUCGCUCUUUUCUUUACAUUUCUCUAUUCUAAACAGAUGCACUAAAAUUACCUUAAAAAUAGUAGGAUAGCCUGUAUAGUUUUCCCUUAACUCCCUCUAUUUCUAAGGGCAUACCCUGCAGUUUCUCUAGAAUAGGGCUACUUUAUAUUUUGUAUGACACGUGUUUAGCCCUUAAAUAUGGCUUAAUAAAAUAGUUUUACGUGAUGGCCGCAUACUAAUGAAGCUCAAGGGAAAGUUCUAUAGGACAGUUAUAAGACCAACUUUGCUUUAUGGGGUUGAGUGUUGGAUCGUCAAGAAACAACAUUCCCAUAGAAUAAAUAUAGUUGAGAUAAGGAUGUUGAGAUGGAAGAAUGGCAAGACAAGAAGAAAUAGAAAUUGAUGUGAAUAUAUUUGAGAGAAUUUAGGUGGGGUAGAAAUAAGCAAUAAAACGAGAGAAGGUAGACUUAGUUGGGCUAGCCAUGUGUUGCGCAGAUCCAAUACAACGUCUGUUAGGAUGUGCGAGUUAGUUCAAAUGGAAGGCUCAAAAAGGGAGAGGGAUAGGCCGAAAAGGAUAUGAUUGGAAGUAGUGAAAAAAGAUCUAGGGACCUAUAGUCUCACUAAAGGUAUGGACCUUAGUAGAGAAUGAUAGACUAGAAUUAGUGUAGCCGAUCCAAAUUAGUUGAGAAAAGACUCUGACAAUGAUGAUAUAAACAUACCUUUUUUCUUUUCUAGACCGGGCCAAUCCCGUCUAAAAUUACCUUUAAACUAACAUGACGUGUGUACCAGUCCAGCCCACGAGUCUUGCAACACAAACCCAGCCCAAAUGCCUGUGGGCCCAUAGAGGCCCAUAGCAAGCCUAGUUUUAGUAAAGCAUAGUCUUUGACUUCCCCGGCUUGGUUGAGAAUAUCCCAUGACCAUGGGUGGCCUCUAGACCAAGCUAAUGUCUCUCUCUUAAAAAGAUAUCAAAUUAUGAAAUUUAAAAUUUCAAAAAUAAUGCAGAUCAAGCAGAUCUAUAUAGACUUCAACAUCUCAAAAAUAUUUUAUAUAACAAACUUGUUACAAGAUGCACUAUUUUUAUGACUAUAAAUGCUUUCUUUUUUCGAUGUAUUCAUAUGUCUCGAGGUCGAGAUCAUCAAUUAGAUGGUUUUCCAACUUUAAAACACUCUUUUCUACUAGAUUUCUUUAGGUACACCUUACUUCUUGAUGCAGGUAGAAAAAUAAUAAACAUAUAAAAAAAAAAAGGGGAAAAUUAUCAGAAAUAUACCUUAAUUUUUGUCUAAUUAAAAAAAAAAAAAAAACUCAACUUUCAUAAACCUUGUCAACAACUUUUUUUUCAAUCUUGACAUUUUUUAAGCAAAAUAGCCUUCACGGUAGUCGUAUAACCGUAAUGACUACCAUAUUACGAUACUUUAAAUAUUGUAAUGACUGGGUUAAGCAUUACAUUACUUUAAGUACCGUAAUGACUAGGCUAAGCAUUACGGUACUUUAAAAUCAUAAUGUUCCAUUGGUCUCUUUCUCCCUCAUUUGCCACAUUUGAAGAUUACGGUAUUUAAAUUAUCAUAAUGCUUAGCCUGGUCAUUGUGGUAAUUAAAGUAUCAUAAUUUUUAGCCUGGUCAUUACAGUAAUUAAAGUAUCAUAUUGUCUAGCCUGGUCAUUAUGGUAUUAAAAGUAACAUAAUGCGAUAAUAUGACUAUUGUAAAGGCUAUUUUGGUCAAUAAAUACCAAAAUUGAAAAAAAAAAAAAAUGAUGUGGACGAUGUUUAUGAAAGUUGCGGGUUUUUUUUUUUUCAAUUAGAAAAAAAUUAAGGUAUAUUUCUGAUAAUUUUUCUAAAAUAAAAGGGUUGAGAUAUUAUACUCUCUCUGGCUCUGUAAAAGACUCCACCCUAAGAUAUUUUCAUAAGAUCAAAUUUUUUCUUUAUUCUCUAAUCUCUCUCACUACAAAUAAGGGAUAUAUUCCCUUUAAAUACAAACUUAUAAAAAAUAAUAAAUAAAAUAAAAUAAAAAUAACAAGCUAAACUCUAUCUCUCAUUUAUCUCUUAAAAACAACUCUCUCAUAUCCUAACCAACCCAAACAUGAUAAUCCUUAUCCAUAUCUAUCUUUUAAAAAUAAUAAUAAUAAAUGAACUUUCAAUUCUGCCAAUUAAAUAUCUAAAACUAAAAAAAGGCAAGAAUAAUUGUAAGUCUUAAAAACUAUAAAAAUUAAAAAUAUAACUUCUUUAUUUGCAUAAUUCUCCCAGGGUUGAAAAAACCUCGACCUCAAACGUACAUCCUUCUUAGGCCAAUCGAGUAAUUGGUGAUCAAACUGUUGGUGAUGUAGUCCCACCAUGCAUUUUGGUAUUUUUUUUAUAAAUCAAUUCAUCAAAUAUUUUAUUUAUAGAACAUUAGGAUCUCAAGCUAAAUCGUGAUUUCUUUUUGAAGUUCCUCAUAAAACUCGAGAAGAUCGAGUUGAAUAUCAAGAUCAUGUGGAUACUCAUCAUAUCAUAAUUCUUGCAUUGCAAAGUGAUCAUCGUAUUCACGAUCAACAUCUCUAAUCAGUAGUGGGCCUCGAUUCAUCUCUACAACAAAAUCUAGCGUUGGAUCUUUAUGCUAGCGAGCACUCUCUUCUCGAAUAAUAAUAUUCAUCAACCAUUACAACCAUUGAUUCAUUUCUUGAAUGCCGUUUCGAACAUCUUCCAUGACUUUGGUAGAUUUUCUAAAAUUUGGCACAUGCGAUCAUUGAUAUCAUGAUUAGGUUUCUAUGGCAUUGUGAUGGUUAGAUUUUCUUUGCUCUGAUACCAACUAAUGUAGGGAGAAAAAUAAAAUAAAAUCGAUUGAGUGAUUAUACCAUCUCCCUGAGUCUACAAGGGAGUCGACCCCAAGAUUUUUUUUACUAGAUUAAACUCUUUUUUUAUUAUCUAAUCACUCUCUUUAUAUAUAAGGGACAUCUUCCUUUUACAUACAAACUUAUAAAUAAUAAUAAAAAGAGUAAUGAUCAUAUGAAACCCUCCCACCACACCCAUGUGUAUAGGAUCCCAAAAGAUUAUCAUUAAAUUUGGGACAGAUCUCUAUAAAAGUCAAGUCUCACUCCCAUAUCAUAACUUUUCUAGAGAUUUUUGCUAAAUUUAAUGGUGAUUAUUUGGGGUCCUACACACAUGGGUGUGAAAAUGUCUCAUAAAAUCAUUACUCUAAUAAAAAAAUAAAAUAAAAAAUAACAAACUAAACUCUCUCUCUCUCUCUCUCUCUCUCUCUCUCUCUCUACUACUACUACUACUCUACNNNNNNNNNNNNNNNNNNNNNNNNNNNNNNNNNNNNNNNNNNNNNNNNNNNNNNNNNNNNNNNNNNNNNNNNNNNNNNNNNNNNNNNNNNNNNNNNNNNNNNNNNNNNNNNNNNNNNNNNNNNNNNNNNNNNNNNNNNNNNNNNNNNNNNNNNNNNNNNNNNNNNNNNNNNNNNNNNNNNNNNNNNNNNNNNNNNNNNNNNNNNNNNNNNNNNNNNNNNNNNNNNNNNNNNNNNNNNNNNNNNNNNNNNNNNNNNNNNNNNNNNNNNNNNNNNNNNNNNNNNNNNNNNNNNNNNNNNNNNNNNNNNNNNNNNNNNNNNNNNNNNNNNNNNNNNNNNNNNNNNNNNNNNNNNNNNNNNNNNNNNNNNNNNNNNNNNNNNNNNNNNNNNNNNNNNNNNNNNNNNNNNNNNNNNNNNNNNNNNNNNNNNNNNNNNNNNNNNNNNNUAAAAAUAAACUAACUAAACUACUCUCUCUCUCUCUCUCUCUCUCUCUCUUGACGACAACUCUUGCAUGUCCUAACCAACUCAAUCAUAUUUAAUCCCUAUCGUAUCCAUCUUUAAAAUAAAAUAAAAAUAAAAAAAGAGAUAUCAAAUUUUCAAUUCUACCCCUUAAAUUUCGACAACUAAAAAAGGAACAAAAUAACCCUAAAAAAAUUAAAAAUCCACAUAACAUAUUUUCUAAGUCUUAAAAAAAAAAAUUACAUUUUUUAUUUGCAACCAUAUAUAAUCUUUUCCAAAUUUAAAAGAGGUGAGAUAGACAUUGUGAUACAAUAUUUUAUAGAAAUAUUAUAUAAAUUUGGUAGAAUUUACAAUAAAAGAAAUAAAGACGAAAAAGAGAGAGAAGAAAAAUCAACAAAUCACAUACGUGGUUCGACAAUGAUGCCUACGUCCACAGAGAGUAAACCAAUGCCUCAUUUAUAGGGAUUACUCUGGUUUACUAGAUAUUUAUAUAGUUACAACUCUUGCUUUUUUGGAAAGAAAUCUCACUACAACUGUAAUCCCACAAAAUAAGAAAGUCAAUAAAGUCAAUAUAUAUUCUCAAUAAUUGAUAGUUGUAAAUCAAUAUAUAUCAUCAGUAUUUGAUAAUUGUUAACAUUCCCUCUCAAGUUGGUGCAUAGAUAUCAAUGGAGCCCAACUUGAAUAGUAUAUAAUGGAACUUUGUCUUUACAAUAGCUUUGGUAAACAUGUCUGCAAGUUGGUAUUCACGUCGAAUAGAAUGAGUACAAAUAAUAUUUUACUGAAUAUUUUCUCUCAUGAAGUGAUAAUUAACUUCUAUAUGUUUAAUUCUUUCAUGAAAAAAUUAGAUUAGAGGCUAUAUGCAUAGCUGCUUGAUAACCACAAAACAUCUCCACUGGAUUGUUGGGAACCCCAUAUCUCGAAGUAAAUAUUUUAGCCACAUCAAUUCACUUGUGGUUGAAGUCAUAGCUCUAUAUUGAGCCUCUGCAAUAGAUCGAGCAACUACAUUUUGUUUCUUAUUUUUCCAAAUAGCCAAGUUCCCUCCGACCAACGUACAAUAAUCGGUAGUGGACCUCCUAUCAAUUGGACUCAGCAUCAUAAUAACCAAUAAUAUUAGUGUGAUCAUUCAGUUUCAAUCAAACACCUCUACCAGGUAACGACUUAAGAUAUCUGACAAUCCUAUCGACAGUCUCCAUAUGACAUGAUCUAGGAGCAUGCAUAAUUAGCUCACAAGACUAACUGCAUACAUUAUAUCUAGUCAUGUCAUAGUCAAAUAAAUCAAUCUGCCCACAGGCCUUUGAAAGCGGCUACAUCUUCAAGAGGUUUUUCAUUUAUUAAAUUAAGUUUGCAAUUAAUAUCGAUAUUAGUGUCUCAGCUUCUCAGUUUCUUUCAACAUAUCUAAUAUAUAUUUCUUUUGAUAAAUAAAGAGUCUAUUUUUUUAAUGUAUUAUUUCAAUGCCAAGAAAAUAUUUUAAUUGACCAAGAAUCUUGAUGUCAAAUUUCUUGUGAAGGUAAUUUUUAAGCUUCAUGAUGCUUUCGUUAUCAUUGCCUGUAAUGAAAAUAGCGUCAAUAUAAAUUAGUACAACUGUUGUACUUGAAGUUGUUUUUUUUGUAAAUAUCGAAUAAUCAUUUGAACUUCUAAAAAACCUGGCACUCGUCAAGGAUUUGCUGAGUUUGGCAUACCUUGCGCGAUGUGAUUGUUUAAGUUCAUACAAAGCCUUCUUUAAUUUGCAUACAAGGCCUUUCUCUUUUUCUUUAAAACAGUCUGGAUGAAGACUCAUAUAGAUUUCUUCUUCAAGAUUACUAUGUAAGAAGACAUUUUUAACAUCCAUCUGAUCCAAAAAAACUCCUACAAUUAACAACAAUAGAUAAAAUAACACGAACAAUAUUCAUCUGGGCAACUAAUGCAAAAAUCUCUUAUAGUCCACUCCAUAUGCUUGGGUAAAUCCUUUGACCACCAACCUGGCCUUAUAUCUCUCAACAGACCCAUCACUAUCCCUUUUAAGUAGAUGAGUAUUCAAUAAGGAUACAUCUAUUGAAAUAUUUAUCAGGUUUUUCUCGGUUGUGCCCAACCACAUGAGCAUAAGACACGCAUCCAAAUACUCGCAUAUGAGACAAAUCAAUUUUUUUAUUUUUCAAAAUUUAAAGAGGAGAUUUAUCCUUAAGAAUUUUACUUGAAAAUAUGUUAAUUAGAUAGCAAGCAGUUAAAAUAGCUUCAGACCACUUAAUUUUUUGGAACAUGCUUCUAAAACAUCAAAGACAUUGUAGCUUACAACAUGUAUCUAUUUUUUUUUCAACAACUCCAUUCGGCUGAGGUGUUCCAACACACGAUGUUUGAUGUAUAAUACCAAGUUUCAAUAAAUGCUCAAAAAAAGCUCUGUUCACAUACUUUGUGCCAUUAUCAGUCCGCAAAAUUAUAAUUUUACCAUCAUAUUGUGUGAAAAUCAGUUUGGAGAGGUCUUUGAACACAAGGAAAACUUUUGUUUUUUAUUUCAAUAAAUAUAUCCAAGUAGCACGAGACCAAUCAUCAAUAAAAGUAGCAAAUAUUUAAAGCCGACAUAAGAAUCAACUGGGGCCGGUCCCCACACAUCAAAAUGUAUCAAAUAAAAAGGUUCAUUUGAAAUAUACAUAGAAGACUGAAAAGGAAGUCUUGUAUGUUUUAAGAAUUUACAGACUUCACAAGAAUGAGAGUUUAAAGAUAGAGAGGGCAUCAAAAAUUUUAAAACUUUAUCUGAGGGAUGUUCAAAUCUCCAAUGCCACAAUUUAUUAAUAGCGGAAUUAUCUUGACUGACAAUAAAAGUCUUAUUCUCCUGAUUAAUAAAUAUAGUCCAUGAGAUAGUCUUCCUUCAUCAAUCUUCUUCCCCAUGACACGGUCUUGGAAAGUCCCCAUGGCCCGGUCUUUAGUAAUUUUACUAACAAACAUCAAGUUAGAUGAAAAUGAUGGCAUAACAGAACUUCAGAGUUACGAGAUUUGGAGAAGAAAUUCAUCCUACCAACAUUAUGUACAGGAAUCAAUGAACCAUUAGCAAUAGACACAUUGUUAAUAUUUUUCUUGUUUUUGAAGUUGGAUAGACUAUGAUUUGUGGCCCCUGAGUCUAUUAUCCAAGGAAAAGUGUCGCUAGAAGACAUGAAAGCAGUGCUACUUGUGUCUGGGAAUGAAGAAGAACGAUCGUGUGUGGAAGAAAAACCAUUUUGUUACUUGGUUGAUGGUAAUGAUCAACGCUUUCUUCAGAAAUUUUGAAAUUGAGAUUUAUGAUUUUAUUUCUAUUUAUGUGUCUAACUUUAGAUUUUCCAAAGAGAGAACGUGAAACGGUUUUCCACCAAGCAAGAUAAUUAAGUCCGUUUAAAAGAACAAUAGUAAGUUUCAUGCUAGAGUUAUGUUCUGAAUUUGUCAUUAUAAAGAAAAAUCGGGAACCAGAAGACUGACUUGAUCAAUAGCAAGAGCGAUAAAAGAAUGGAAGUCCUUCAAUCAGAACUGAUCGAAGAUCCCAAUGAGAAUUAUAAUUCAUCUCUCUAGAAAUUGUCGAUGUGCAUACAACUGCCAGUGAAUUAAUGCUUACAGUGCCAAUAAUAAUUGCUUUCUCUCUCAUCACCUCGAUUCUUAUGCGAUUCAAAUAUCAUUUAGACGUGCUUCCAACACAUCAACAAGGAUGAGAGGUACGGCAAGUCCGCAUCAAUAACUUGGUCGACUUGAGGGGAGCACAAAACGUUACCGUUCGCAAGAGAGCCAUUUGCAACAGAUUUGCAUUGCGUGAGGAUGCUCUUUGGCUCUACAUAGAGUCACGAAAACAUUAGUUUGUGAACCCUUUGCACCAGCCGUAUAACCCUCACUUUGCAAAACCUUUGCGGCAACAAUAUGAACGUCGGUAGUAUGUAAACCUUUUGCAGCCACAAUAGCAACUUCCCUUGCAAACCAGUAUGCAAUUUGAAAAAUAAUAGAUGAGGAUGCCUAAUUGUAUGGGCUCAAAGUCUAAAAUAAAAAUUUUAAAAUAUUGUGACAUAAUAUCACGUAUCAGCUAUUGAUUNNNNNNNNNNNNNNNNNNNNGGUAGAGUUAUGUUCUGAAUUUGUCAUUAUAAAAAAAAAUCGGGAACCAGAAGACUGACUUGAUCAAUAGCAAGAGCGAUAAAAGAAUGGAAGUCCUUCAAUCAGAACUGAUCGAAGAUCCCAAUGAGAAUUAUAAUUCAUCUCUCUAGAAAUUGUCGAUGUGCAUACAACUGCCUGUGAAUUAAUGCUUACAGUGCCAAUAAUAAUUGCUUUCUCUCUCAUCACCUCGAUUUUUAUGCGAUUCAAAUAUCAUUUAGACGUGCUUCCAACACAUCAACAAGGAUGAGAGGUACGGCAAGUCCGCAUCAAUAACUUGGUCGACUUGAGGGGAGCACAAAACGUUACCGUUCGCAAGAGAGCCAUUUGCAACAGAUUUGCAUUGCGUGAGGAUGCUCUUUGGCUCUACAUAGAGUCACGAAAACAUUAGUUUGUGAACCCUUUGCACCAGCCGUAUAACCCUCACUUUGCAAAACCUUUGCGGCAACAAUAUGAACGUCGGUAGUAUGUAAACCUUUUGCAGCCACAAUAGCAACUUCUCGUGCAAACCAGUUUGCAAUUUAUUUAUGUGAAAAAUAAUAGAUGAGGAUGUCUAAUUAUAUGGGCUCAAAGUCUAAAAUAAAAUUUUUAAAAUAUUGUGACAUAAUAUCAUGUAUCAGCUAUUAAUUUAUAUUUAAUAAUUAAAAAUAAGUGUGAUCUUCUUAAAUAUAAAAUAAAUAAUCUUAUAUUGUACAAUCUUUUUUUUUAUAAUAAAACUUACAUACCAUCACUCCCAUAUCCCAAUAAUUGUUGGUUUAUGCUCUAUGACCUUGAGUGCUUUGCUUUAGCAACAUUUUCCCCAUUGAUAUAAAACUUUCCAUGGUCAUUAGGCACCUAUGAGAAUCUAUCUCCACCAUAACUCCUCUUGCAUAAAACAUUUUUUAAUAUUAACCUCCAAGCCCUUUGUAUCCUCCCAUUUGUAAAAUUGAGAGAUAAUUAGGGAUCUUUCCGGCCCCAAAUUCCUCCAAUUUUCUUCCCCAAAAAUAUCUCACAAUUGCCAAAAUUAGAACCAUGUCUUAUGAAUCUUUGGUUAUUGCCCUUUGUUAGUGAAAAUGCAGCAUGUAUUCCUUUCCAAGCUCAAAGGCCCCUCCCAACCAAAACAAUUGUUCUAAAAAUUCAAAUGUAUAAUAAUAUAUCAGAUUUAUAUAGCGAACUCCAAUUAAUUGAAAAAAGAUUUUGAUGAUGAUGACUUCCUAUCAAUUACACCCACAUUUAUUGGCGAUGGCCAAUUCCCAUCCUAAUUUAGUAUAAUUUUUUUUUUUUUUAACCCAAAAAAUAAAGUAUUUCUAAUAUAUUCCUUUAUUAUUAUUAUUAUUCUUAUUUUCUUAUAUUUUUAAUAUAUGAUUGGGACUGGACCUUGCCGAGUACCCCCAAGUUGUAUGUACAAUUAGGGUUUACAUGAAAAAAUUUAAAAAAAAAAAAGUAAAAAACUCUCUCUCUCUAUAACAUUUGCAAAGUCGGCAGAGUAAUUCCCACUCAACCAAGUUACCAGGGCUCGGGCCCUUGCUGAGCCCGAGCUGGGUGUCCAACUCGGGGAUAUUAAAAAAAAUUCAAAUAAAAUGUAAAAAAUAUUUAAAAAUAAUGAAUUUAUUUGAAAUAUGUUUUUUAUACUUUUUAUCAUUUUGACGAAGAUGGGAAAGUGUUUUAACCAUAAAUACUUAUUUUUAUUUUUAAUCAUUUUUUGAUUAUUUGAAAAUUACCUCAACUUCAUUUUGAUAUGUUUUUGCUUAAUCUUACUUUAAACAUAUAUUUUUUAUUUUUUAUUUUUAAUAAUGUUUUGAACCAUUUUUUUGUUUCUACAAUACUCGGCACUACUUGGACCGAGUUAUUGGGACUCGGUCAGAGUACUGUGAUCGGGCAUGUGCUUGAGUACUCAACCCGAGCAGUUAGUUUCCAACACUCCCUCUAACCCCUUUUCCAGUCCCCUCUCCCCCUCCCUCCCUCCCUCCCUGUCCUUUUUCCAUCUCUCUAAUUUCCAGUACAAUACCCCAAAGUUUAGCAUCACCUCUAAGCAAUUUCACAAACAUUUUCAAUCUCCACAGCCCUUGCUGCAAAUCCAUACCAAUCUUCUCUCUCCUUGGUUGGGCUUCUCAAACAUAGAAGAUGAAGACCCCACGAGGGAUAGGUUAUUAAGGUCCUUGCAGUAGCAUCACCACACCUAAUCACCACAUUGUAGUUUCUCUUCUUAUCACUAACACUAUCUCACUAAUACUUUUAAAAAUAUCACUCUUAAUCUACUUUAAAAAAAAAAAACGGGUAAAACCUGUAUUCCCCAUUGAAUAACCAAAAAAAAAAAAAAAUCCCAAUAUGGAUGGCAAUGGACCCAUACACGACCCGAAACUCGAGGGGUACACCUGAUCUCGAUCUAAAUAUGGAUCAAAAUAUUUGACCCGACGGAUUAAAUCCAUGUUCAAAUCUUGGACCUAAACACUAUUCAGAUUUGAGUGUGAAUUUGAGUCCAAAACCAUCAUUGCCGCCCCUAAACCCCAUAACUGCUGAGGCAUGGAGGGAAAGGAGAUACGAAAAAGAUUUGAGAGAAGUGGAGGGGUUACAUGGCGGGGUUUGGAGAGAAUUGAGGGCUGCGUAGCCCAAGGCCGGGGCCAUGGAGGGAAAGGAGAUAUGACAAAGAUUUGAGAGAAGCGGAGGGGUUACAUGGCCGGGUGUGGAGAGAGGGGAGGGCUGCGUGGCCCGAGGCCGGGGCCAUGAGAGAUUGAAUAGACCUCUCUUUCCUUACCGGAGGGAGAAGGAUCUGUUUUGUCAAUCUCUCUCCACCCCAUUUGUGGGAAGAAAGAGAGAUCGGAUCGACCUCUCUCUAUGGGAAGAACGCUGUUCGUUUUGUGAAAGAAUCAUUUACCGAACCUACCAAAUUUUCCAGUCCUCCAACCAGCUUUCCCACCACUAACUAUUCUACUAAAAAUUGGCAAACCAGAUCACAACGAGCCAAUUCGUAUUAGGAAGUCGUUAGGCCGUUUUGGGAUUUGACAAAGCAUUUGAACAAACUAGCUCCCCUCUAAACUGGCUAGUUUUUUAAGAGAAGCAACUAAUCCCACUGUAAUUACUAAUAUUCUUUAUUAUUUUUUAUUUUUUUUAAGAAAAAUUUAUCGACAGAUUCACUCCACACAAGACCAAUCCAGCCAAAUUUUCCAGCCAGGCCAGUGACGCAUGACACCGUUCAAGGGCAAUCAUGCAAUUUUUUCACAAUGCGUGUGUAAAAUGACCAAUGCAAAAGGCCAGCAAAGGUGGGGACAAAGAUGAUAGCAUAAACCCAAAAGCAUCACGGGUGAUGAUCCCUCACUGUCCGGGACCAUUUUCUCUCUUUAACUUUGAAAAGCAUCUCUCUCUCUCUCUCUCUCUCCUCCUUUAUUCACAUGGCAUGCAUAGAUCAAUAUAUAAAAAUAAGGCUCUCCUCAUGAUAAAGCACCACCACCAAACGUUCACAAUUAUUGAUGGAUGAGAGAGAGAGUAGCUGACAUUUACAUAGAUUCAGACCACACACACUAACCGGGAAGAGAGGCGAACAAAACAAAACCUACACGUCUCCCCUUUGCAUUUACACAAAGCCUGCAACUCUUUAGAGAUCAGUGGAGAGAGAAAAGUCACCAAAAUGAAAGGAAACCCAACAACUUCUGCAAAUUUUGAGGCUAUGCCCAACAACUUCUGCAAAUUUUGAGGCUAUGUUUAAGAUCUGGAUUUAAAGGGAAUGGCCCUGAUCACAAUUUGGUGGUAAACAGCAGCAAGAGCAGCUCCAAUGAAGGGACCCACCCAGAAAAUCCACUGCAAAACAUUUGUAAUCAUGGUUUUAGAGAGAGAAAAUAGAAGGUAGACCUUUACCAAAAAAAAAAGAAAGAAAGAAGAUAGACUGGUUAGAGGAGAGACAGAUGAUGAAAGAGAGUGGAUUAGAUGGUCUGAUUAGAGAGAUAAAGCCUUUGAGUCUUCGACAGAUGAUGAGAGAGUGGAUUAGAGACAGAAAGUAAAGACUGGUGGACAAACAAAAUAGAGCAGUCGAGAGAGAUUAGAAAGAGCAAAAGUAGAGAGAGAAAGAGAGUAAAGUCUGAAAGUGAAAUCGAAUAAAGAGUACUCAGACUAUCAGAGUAAGAAUUGAGCAAAGAUUAGUAGAGAGAAAUGAGGGGAGAGACCUGUAGAGAGAGAAAGAGGUAGAGUGAAAACAGAGUAGAGAGAGAAAAUAUAGUAGAGAGAGAAGAAACAUACAUGGUCGUCCCAGGCUUGGUCUCG
Molecule: long non-coding RNA, 56754 nt
Filed under: Amborella trichopoda
Lineage: Eukaryota; Viridiplantae; Streptophyta; Magnoliopsida; Amborellales; Amborellaceae
Description: long non-coding RNA (ATRI_LNC003486)
Rfam family: tRNA (bases 43877-43951)
Source: RNAcentral